RNAcentral lists this long non-coding RNA (83464 nucleotides) under Triticum aestivum (bread wheat). RNAcentral describes it as "long non-coding RNA (TAES_LNC013132)". Lineage: Eukaryota; Viridiplantae; Streptophyta; Magnoliopsida; Poales; Poaceae. The record is from RNAcentral.
AUAGAAAACACAGUAUCGGGAAGCCAAAUACAAGGUUCAGGAGCACAAAUAGCAUCACAAAUACAUGGUGCAGGUCUCAGAAGCACAAAUACAAGGUUCAGGAGCAGAAAUACAAGGUUCAGGACCUUCAGGUGCCCAAAUAGCAGCAGAAAUACAAGGUUCAGUAGCAGCACAAAUACACAAAUACAAGGUUCAGGUUGAGUAGUUGUGUGCCAACAAGCUAGCACUAGCAAGUAGUAGUGUAGCAGCCCAUGGAUAAAUGUAAAUAACAGCAUGUAGUAGUGUAGCACGUCGGGUCGUCGGCCUUCUCGUCACAACCAACCAGCAACAACACCAUCAUACAGUCAUGUUUCAGGCUUCAGUUAGGAUGGAUUGAUCAUCAACCUCCUGAAACAUAAGAAAGUAAAAGCAUUCAAAGUAAAGAACAAGAUUUGCAUUAAAAUCUAAGAUUAAAAGGCAUGCUAAGUUGCUAAAAGUAGAAUCUGUUACCAUCAUUUCUGUGUCAUCCUUAAGAACAGUUUCAAAGUCCGCAAAGAGAGUAAAAUUGCAAUCCCCUGAUGCAUAGGUUUAGAUAUUAACAUAUAGCAAGGAAAUAAUAUUGUGUAUGGAAAGAAGAGUCAUGAUUCAACUAGAUUAUUACCUAACAUGUCUGCACGGGACCAAGCUUGCAUGCACAUAAGAGCUUCGGUCAUGUUUCGUGCAAGUGAACAUCUAUGUGCACUUAGUAUUCUCCCACUAGUACUGAAGGCAGAUUCCGAUGCCACAGUUAUUACAGGAAUGGCUAGUAUAUCAUGAGCCAUUCUUCGCAAUGUAGGAUACUUGAUACCUCCAAACUGCCACCAAUUGAUGAUGUCGAGACCCUCUGGCCUAUGGAUAAUUUCCUCUUCCAAAUAUAAGUCCAGUUCUGUCCGCACACGAGAAGCACUCGUAACAGGCUUUGAGGACAUAUAUUGUUUAAAAAUAUUCUCCAUUUCAUCCACUGCAGCCCCAUCUUGGGUAGAAACACUCCUACCUACCUGUGACUCCGAGGUACCCACACCACCAUCAGAUGCUUGAUAUUCUAGCAACAGAUCACCCAUUAACUUUCUAAUUUUCUCCACUUCUGCAGUUGCAUGUUCAAACCCAUAGAGAGAGACAAACAAAGCUUGCAACAUAUGAAGCUUAUAUCUUGGAUCAAGGACUAUUGCCACAGACAUAAGACCAUGGACUUCUUUCCAAUACUUCUCAAACUUUGUCUUCAUUUCCUCAGACAUCUUUUGCAAAGGAACAUGCUCACUAGUAGACCAUUUUCGUAUUGCUAGACGAAUAGAAGAUAUUUUGGGGAAGAACAGAUUUGCUAUAACAUAUUUAGUCCCUGAGAAUAGCUCGGUGAUCACACAAAAUAGCUAGUUCAACACAUCUCUCAGCUAUUCUACACUUCUACUGUUGUGAACCAAAUAAAAAGGCUGGGAACUGGGAGAAAGAAAUGAGAGUCACCUUGCAGAGACAAAGGAUGGCGGCGGUGCUGCUCCGGUGACGUGAAGCCUUGGAGGAAUACGAGAUGGAGACGACGGCGGUACUGCUUGCUGGAGACGGCGGCGGUCAAGCCUUGGAGGAAUAUGAGAUGGAGACGACGGCGGUAGUGCUUGCUGGAGACGGCGGCGGUGAAGCCUUGGAGGAAGAACGAGAUGGAGACGACGGCGGCAGUGCUUGCUGGAGACGGCAGCGGUGGUGCUUGGCAGGGGAUCUAGAAGCCGACGAGGAUGGAGGUGGCCUGCGGUGGGGAUCCCGCGUCCCGUGAGGAUGGAGGCGGCGGGGAUCCUGUGGCCCGUGAGGAUAGCGGUCCGGGGAUCCGGCAGCUUGCGGCGACAGGGAUGGGACGGUGGGCGGCAUACACGGUGAGUUGUCCAGGAAGCGACCAAAUGACGCUUCACUGCGUUGCAUCUCUAGAGACCAGGCGAAGGAGUUGCUGACCGGCAUACACGGUGGGGACUGUGGGGACCACUCGUCGUCGCGAACCCUCGUUGGCAAGGCAUUUCGCAGUGGAUUCUACUGGCCCACGGCACUAAACGACGCAGCCGAGCUGGUGAAGUCCUGUGAAGCCUGUCAGUUUCAUGCCAAGCAGAUCUAUCAGCCGGCUCAGGGCCUCUAGACCAUCCCACUCACAUGGCCGUUCGCGGUCUGGGGGCUGGAUAUCUUGGGCCCGUUCCCUAGAGCGCCUGGGGGCUACCGCUACCUCUACGUUGCCAUCAACAAGUUCACCAAGUGGGCGGAGGUGGAAGCCGACCGCACCAUCCCAGCUGGUUCCACUGUCAAAUUCAUCAAGGGUCUCAUGAGCCACUUCGGGGUCCCCAACCGCAUCAUCACCGACAACGGCUCGCAGUUAACUAGUAACCUCUUCAAAACAUACUGUGCUAACCUUGGAACGCAGAUCUGCUACGCUUCGGUGGCGCACCCCAGCAGCAAUGAUCAGGCCGAACGCGCCAACGCAGAGGUCCUGAGGGGCCUCAAGACCAGGACCUUCAAGAAGAAGCUCAAGGCCUGCGGCAGGGGCUGGCACGACGAGCUCCAGUCCGUGUUGUGGUCCAUCCGCACCACCGCCACCAAGCCGACGGGCGAGACCCCGUUCUUCCUUGUCUACGGAGCCGAAGCGGUCCUCCCUCACGAAGUCAAGCAUCGCUCCGCAUGGGUCCUGGCAUUUGAUGAAACGCAGCAGGAUGCCAUGCGGGGGAUGGACCUCGUGCUGGGGGAGGAACGUCGCCACGAAGCUGCACUGAGGGCGGCAAGGUACCAGCAGGCGCUGCGGCGAUACCACUGCCGCAACAUCCGCUCCAGGACACUCGAGGCGGGCGACCUCGUCCUGAGGCGAGUCCUCUCCAGGGAAGGGCUGCACAAGCUCUCACCUAUGUGGGAGGGCCCGUUCAAGGUUGUCCAUGUCUCCAGGCCUGGUGCCGCACGCCUGGAUGCGUAGGACGGGGUACCCAUCCAGAAUGCCUGGAACAUCCAGCACCUUCAGAAAUUCUACCCAUGAAGCAAGGCCCAGUGCCUGUGAAGAAAGGCCCAGUGCCUGUGAAGAAGGCCCGGUGCCUGUGAAGAAUCGCCGCCCGUGACACUCUCAUGUAAUAAUGAGUGGGGCUGUACACGCCCCGGAGUCUCAGGAGUGUCGCCCUCGGGCCUCGGGGGCUCCCUCCCACGUCCUAGUGGCAGCACUUAGCUCCGCGCUGGUGAGAAGACUUGAAGACUAGACUAGGUGCCGGACGCGUCUUUUCAUUUGCUUUCCGUAGUUGGCUCGCCUUCUUUUAAUCAAAGUUUGCUAAUGGUGUUCCUUGCUGAUUUGGUUCCGUCGCCUUUUGCCGCUAUUUCUGACUCUAGUUCACCUAUGUUCUCUCUCUCGCAUACCUCGAGAGGGGGCUCGGCAGGUGCCCUCGCGAGCGUUUUUCCUUCUCUCUGCCUUCCGUCUGCUUUCUCGCGAGGCACCCUCGUUCGAGCCCACAAGCUGGCGCAUCUCUCCUAAUCCGUGCCCCUUGGGUACCGCGAUAUGAAGCGCUGGGUGAAGGCUUGGGUGAACGAUAAGUCUCCUAGCGAGCAUCCUAACGGAUUUUCUGCAGUUCCCGAGCGACCACUAAGUCAAGACGGGCACGAGGAAACGAGUGCCUCGUCAAGAGGAGGCCAACCGGCGACUCCCAUGAUCACAUGUAAUGAUGGUUUUCCCUUGCAUGUCGCAGGGACUUGUCAAGUCGGGCAGUUGCCGAGGCAGCGUGGGGAAGCGGAGACGGCCACGUCCAAUCAACCGCCACGCGUCGACCGAGGCCGCAGGCUUUUGGGGCCCGCGGCGCUCCAUACUUGACCUUUGGCUUCGCCUCGAAGCCAAGCCCGAGCGCGCCUUGGGCCCGGGGGCUACUGUCGGUGUUCUAGGAAUGGGGGUCCCUAGACUUGCCUGCCUGCGGCCCACGGCGUGGCUCUGCGCGUGGGCCCGUAUGGCCCAUCUUCAUCAACAAGGCGUUCAAGACCCUCGCGAGGGGCCAAGCCUCGCAAGGCGGGCGACACGAGACCUCCUCAGGAGCGGCCUCACCAGGUUGGCUCGCGAGGAGCGGAGAGAUCAAGGCAGGGCAAACCUCGCGAGGUUCUCGUGAUGUGAGCCAUGAUGAUCAAGAUCAGGCGGGUGCCAGGCGGGCGCCAGCACGCGCAGUGUCCUUAUUUCCCCUUUGGUGCUAUGGAAGCAAACGCAGGUGCGGAGUACCGAGGCGUCAAGCAAAGGUUUCCAUAUCGGUGCAACGAGACCAAGACCAGCAGGACGACAAGACGGAGGUCACCAUGGAGCCCAAGGCGGCGUCACCACGAGAGCCUUUUGCAGGCGAAGACCGCUUUUGUCAGGAUAAGUUGUACUAGCUGUCCCCUUUCAAAUUGGCCGUUGUUGGCUCCCUUCCCGCUCAAUAUUUGGGAAGAGGACAAGGGCCUAUAUAAGUAGAACUAGCCACCACCGUAGGGGAUAACUGAUUCGGAGGCGCCUGAUCUUUAGCUGAUCCUUAGCCACACACCAAGCACAAGAACACCUCAACCUCAGGAGGCUGUUCUUCCCCUUGUACUGUUCAUCAUCAGCCCAAGAGGCAAUCCAACACCACCACACUGGAGUAGGGUAUUACACCACAACGGUGGCCAGAACCAGUAUAAACCUUGUGUCUCUUGUGUUGUGAUUUUGUUGAGUUCGUCCGCAAGAUCUUAGCAAGCUAGGGCGUGGAUCGGUAGGGGGAAAGAACUUCGCGCGCACCCCAUAGUUCGAACCUUAAGGGUUUUGCCGGAACCCGUGAUCCGACACAUAGGCAUGGGGUGAAUUUAUCAUGGAUUGCAACAAAUAAAUAUGAUCAAUCAAAGAGCAACUAUCAUAAUUAAAGUCUUUGUAAUCCAAAAGAGUGGGCACAUCGCUAGCUAAAGUUUUGACCUCUCCAAACCCACUUUCAUCAUUUUUCUCAACAAGAUUUUCACCCUCUGAAAUAUUGGGACGCCUUCUACCUAAAGUUGACUCUUCCUCAGUCCCUUUCUCAUCAAUAUUUUCCACAUCAUGAGCAAUUCUAUCAACACUUCUAGACAAAUCAUCAAUCUUACUCAAUUUUUCUUCUAUGAAAGUGUUGAAAAAAUUUAUGUGUUGAUAAAUUCUUUAAUAUUAUUCUCAAGAUCAGAGGUGUUCCUAUUAUUAUUAUAAGAUUGAUUUCCAUAGGAAUUACCAUAAUUAUUAGAGGAAUUACUAGGAAAAGGCCUAGGAUUAAAAUUACCUCUAUAAGCAUUGUUGUUGAAAUUAUUUCGAGAGAUAAAAUUCACAUGUAUGGCAUCACUAUUUUGCUCAAUCAAAGUAGACAAGGGCAUAUCAUUAAGAUCAAUAGGAGCACUUAUACUAGCAACCAAUUUCACAAGAGCAUCAACUUCUUCACUCAAAGAAAAAAUUUCUUCAACCGAAUUAACUUUUUGACUAGUAGGAGCCCUUUCGGUAGGCCAUUGCGGAUAAUUUGCCAUAAUAUUAUCAAGCAAUUUGGUGGCUUCACCCAAAGUAAUUUCCAUAAAAGUACCACCCGUGGCGGAAUCUAAAAGAUUACGAGAAACAAAAUUCAACCCCGCAUAAAAAUUUUGUAUGAUCAUCCAAAGAUUUGACCCAUGAGUUGGGCAAUUCCUUAGCAUCAUUUUCAUCCUUUCCCAAGUUUGUGCAACAUGCUCAUGUUCAAGUAGCUUGAAAUUCAUGAUCUGGGUUCUGAGGGAAAUAAUUUUUGCGGGAGGAAAAUACUUAGUGAUAAAAGCAUCUUUGCACUUAUUCGAAGAAUCGAUAUUGUUGCGAGGCAAAGAAGAGAAUCAAAUUUUUGCAGAAUCACGCAAACAAAACAGAAAUAAUUUCAUCUUGACCACAUCAUUGUCCAUAUCUUUUUUCUUUUGCAUAUCGCAUAAUUCCAUGAAGGUAUUAAUUAAGAUGGGAUGUGGCAUCCUCAUUAGGAGUACCAUAAAAUUGGUCUUUCAUAACAAGAUUCAGCAAAGCAGUAUUAAUAUCACAAGUCUUCGCACUAGUGGCGGGAGGAGCAAGCGGAGUGCCAAUAAAAUCAUUGUUGUUGGUAUUUUAGAAAUCACAUAACUUGGUGUUCUCUUGAGUCAUGAUGACCACACAACAAGAUUGCACUCAAAAACAGAUUCGGCAAGAAAAUGGCGAACUAGAAAAAGAGAGGCGAAUAAAACGGCAAAUUUUUGUGAAGUGGGGGAGAGGAAAAUGGAAAAUGAUGUAAAUUGCAAGGGGAUGAGAUUUGUGAUUAGGAACCUGGUAUAUGUUGAAGAUCCUCCCCGGCAACGGCACCAGAAAUGGUGCGUUGACGGGAAACUAUCUUGACUUGAUCCUCCCCAACAACGGCGCCAGAAAUUCCUUUUGAUGUCCCUUGAAGCUACGUCGGUAUUUCCCCAAAGAGGAAGGGAUGAUGCAGCACAGCGGCGGUAGGUAUUUCCCUCAGAUAUGAAACCAAGGUUAUCGAACCAGUAGGUGAACCAAGCAACACAACGUAAACAACACUUGCACACAAAUAACAACACCUCGCAACCCGACGUGUUAAAGGGGUUGUCAAUCCCUUCCGGGGUACGGCGCCUCAAGAUAGGCAAACGGACGUGAGGUAAAUUUGUAGUAGAUUGAUAGUUCGGAUGCGAACAAUAUAAAUAACGAUUAAUUGCAGCAAGGUAUUUUUGGGUUUUUGGAUUAAUAGAUCUGAAAAUAAAAUCAAAUGAAAAGUAGAUCGCAAAGGCAAAUAAUAUGAGAAAGAAGACCCGGGGGCCGUAGGUUUCACUAGUGGCUUCUCUCGAGAAAAAUAGCAAAUAGUGGGUGAACAAAUUACUGUUGGGCAAUUGAUAGAACUCCAAACAAUUAUGACGAUAUCCAGACAAUGAUCAUUACAUAGGCAUCACGUCCAAGAUUAGUAGACCGACUCCUGCCUACAUCUACUACUAUUACUCCACACAUCGACCGCUAUCCAGCAUGCAUCUAUUGUAUUAAGUUCAUGGAAAAACGGAGUAAUGCAAUAAGAACGAUGACAUGAUGUAGACAAGAUCUAUCUAUGUAGAGAUAGACCCCAUUGUUUUAUCCUUAGUAGCAACGAUACAUACGUGUCGGUUCCCUUUCUGUCACUGGGAUCAAGCACCGUAAGAUCGAACCCACUACCGGGCACCUCUUCCCAUUGCAAGAUAAAUAGAUCAAGUUGGCCAAACAAAACCCAAAUAUCGGAGAAGAAAUAUGAGGCUAUAAGAGAUCAUGCAUAAAAGAGAUCAAAGAAACUCAAAUACUUCCAUGGAUAUAAAAAGAUAGAUCUGAUCAUAAACUCAAAGUUCAUCGAUCCCAACAAACACACCGCAAAAGAGUUACAUCGUAUGGAUCUCCAAGAGACCAUUGUAUUGAGAAUCAAGAGAGAGAUGAAGCCAUCUAGCUACUAACUACGGACCCGAAUGUCUACAAAGAACUACUCACACAUUGUCGGAGAGGCACCAACGGAGGUGGUGAACCCCAUCCGAGAUGGUGUCUAGAUUGGAUCUGGUGGUUCUGGACUCUGCGGGGGCUGGAUGAAUAUUUCGUCGACUCCGCUAUGGUUCUGGUAUUUUUCGGGUAUUUAUAGAGCAAAGAAGCAGUCCGGGGGGCACCCGAGGUGGGCACAACCCACCAGGGCACGCCUGGGCCUCCUGGUGUGCCCUGGUGGGUUGUGCCCCCCUCGGGGCACCCCCAGGCGCAGCCAGGGCCCGUUGUGUUCCUUUUGGCCCAUAAAAAAUCUCCGUGAAGUUUCGUGGCAUUUGGACUCCGCCUGAUAUGGAUUUUCUGAGAUGUAAAAAACACGGAAAAAUAGGAACUGGCACUAUGUCAAUAGGUUAGUACCAAAAAUGAUAUAAAAUGGCUAUAAAAUAAUUAUAAAACAUCCAAGAUUGAUAUAAUAAUAGCAUGGACUAAUAAAAAUUUAUAGAUACGUUGGAGAUGUAUCAGUACACAUCAAUAACAUGUAUAUCAAAUAUACCUUUCACUUUACCAUCAUUCUUAUCCACCAAAUACUUGGGGCAGCUCUGCUUCCAGUGGCCAGUCCCUUUGAAGUAGAAGCACUCAGUCUCAGGCUUAGGUCUAGACUUGGGCUUCUUCACUUGAGCAGCAACUUGCUUGCCAUUCUUCUUGAAGUUCCCCUUCUUCCCUUUGCCCUUUUUCUUGAAACUAGUGGUCUUGUUAACCAUCAACACUUGAUGCUCCUUCUUGAUUUCUACCUCCGCAGCUUUUAGCAUCGUGAAGAGCUCGGGAAUUGUCUUAUCCAUCCCUUGCAUAUUAUAGUUCAUGAUGAAGCUUUUGUAGCUUGGUGGCAGUGAUUGAAGAACUCUGUCAAUGGCACUAUCAUCAGGAAGAUUAACUCCUAGUUGAGUCAAGUGGUUGUGGUACCCAGACAUUCUGAGUAUAUGUUCACUGACAGAACUAUUCUCCUCCAUUUUGCAGCUAUAGAACUUAUUGGAGUCUUCAUAUCUCUCAAUUCGGGCAUUUGCUUGAAAUAUUAACUUCAACUCCUGAAACAUCUCAUAUGCUCCAUGACGUUCAAAAUGUCGUCGAAGUCCCGAUUCUAAGCCGUAAAGCAUGGCACACUGAACUAUCGAGUAGUCAUCAGCUUUGCUCUGCCAGACGUUCAUAACAUCUGGUGUUGCUCCUGCAGCGGGCUUUGCACCUAGCGGUGCUUCCAAGACAUAAUUCUUCUGUGCAGCAAUGAGGAUAAUCCACAAGUUACGGACCCCGUCCGUGUAGUUGCUACCAUCAUCUUUCAACUUAGCUUUCUCUAGGAAUGCAUUAAAAUUCAAAGGAACAGUAGCACGGGCCAUUUAUCUACAACAACAUAAACAUGCAAAAUACUAUCAGGUACUAAGUUCAUGAUAAAUUAAAGUUCAAUUAAUCAUAUUACUUAAGAACUCCCACUUAGAUAGACAUCCCUCUAGUCAUCUUAAAUGAUUACGUGAUCCAUAUCAACUAAACCAUGUCCGAUCAUCACGUGAGAUGGAGUAGUUUUCAAUGGUGAACAUCACUAUGUUGAUCAUAUCUACUAUAUGAUUCACGCUCGACCUUUCAGUCUCAGUGUUCCAAGGCCAUAUCUGCAUAUGCUAGGCUCGGCAAGUUUAACCCAAGUAUUCCGCGUGUGCAAAACUAGCUUGCACCCGUUGUAUAUGAACGUAGAGCUUAUCACACCCGAUCAUCACGUGGUGUCUCGGCACGACGAACUGUAGCAAUGGUGCAUACUCAGGGAGAACACUUGUACCUUGAAAUUUAGUGAGAGAUCAUCUUAUAAUGCUACCGUUGUACUAAGAAAAAUAAGAUGCAUAAAGGAUAAACAUCACAUGCAAUCAAAAUAAGUGAUAUGAUAUGGCCAUCACCAUCUUGUGCCUUUGAUCUCCAUCUCCAAAGCACCGUCAUGAUCACCAUCGUCACUGGCUUGACACCUUGAUCUCCAUCGUAGCAUCGUUGUCAUCUUGCCAACUAUUGCUUCUACGACUAUCGCUGCUGCUUAGUGAUAAAGUAAAGCAAUUACAUGGCGAUUGCAUCUCAUACAAUAAAGCGACAACCAUAAGGCUCCUGCCAGUUGCCGAUAACUUUUACAAAACAUGAUCAUCUCAUACAACAAUUUAUAUAUCAUCACGUCUUGACCAUAUCACAUCACAACAAGCCCUGCAAAAACAAGUUAGACGUCCUCUACUUUGUUGUUGCAAGUUUUACGUGGCUGCUACGGGCUUCUAGCAAGAACCUUUCUUACCUACGCAUCAAAACCACAAUGAUUUUUCGUCAAGUGUGCUGUUUUAACCUUCAACAAUGACCGUGCGUAGUCAAACUCGAUUCAACUAAAGCUAGAGAAACAGACACCCGCUAGCCACCUGUGUGCAAAGCACGUCGGUAGAACCAGUCUCAUGGACGCGGUCAUGUAAUGUCGGUCCGGGCCGCUUCAUCCAACAAUACCGCCGAAUCAAAGUAAGACGUUGCUGGUAAGCAGUAUGACUAUUAUCGCCCACAACUCAUUGUGUUCUACUCAUGCAUAUAACAUCUACACAUAGACCUGGCUCGGAUGCCACUGUUGGGGAACGCAGUAUUUCAAAAAAAAUACCUACGAUCACGCAAGAUUUAUCUAGGAGAUGCAUAGCAACGAGCGGGAGAGUGUGUCCACGUACCCUCGUAGACCGAAAGCGGAAGCGUUUAGUAACGCGGUUGAUGUAGUUGAACGUCUUCGCGAUCCAACCGAUCCAAGUACCGAACGUACGGCACCUCUGCGUUCAGCACAUGUUCAGCUCGAUGACGUCCCUCAACUCUUGAUCCAGUUGAGGCCGAGGGAGAAUUCCGUUAGCACGACGGCGUGGCGAUGGUGAUGAUGAAGUUACCGGCGCAGGGCUUCGCCUAAGCACUACAACGAUAUAACCGAGGUGUGUAACUGUGGAGGGGGGCACCGCACACGGCUAAGAGAAGACUUGGUGUGCCUUUGGGGUGCCCCCUCCACGUAUAUAAAGGGGGGAGGAGAGGUGGCCGGCCCAAGGGGGCGCGCCAUGGGGGGAGUCCUACUUGGACUCCCGGUCCAAGUAGGAUUCGGCCCCCUUUUCCUAUUCCCACUAGGAGAAGGAGGGAAGGAGGAGGAAGAGAGAAGGAAAGGGGGCCGCCCCCCAACCCUAGUCCAAUUCGGAUUGGGCUUGGGGGGCGCGCGCCAGCACCUGGCCGCCGCCUCCUCUCUCCUCUAGGACCCAUGAAGGCCCAUUAACUCCCCGGGGGGUUCCGGUAACCCCCGGUACUCCGGAAAAUGCCCGAACCUUUCCGAAACCAUUCCGGUGUCCAAACAUAACCUUCCAAUAUAUCAAUCUUUAUGUCUCGAACAUUUCGAGACUCCUCGUCGUGUCCGUGAUCACAUCCGGGACUCCGAACAAACUUCGGUUCAUCAAAACACAUAACUCGUAAUACAAAUCGUCAUCGAACGUUAAGCGUGCGGACCCUACGGGUUCGAGAACUAUGUAGACAUGACCGAGACACAUCUCCGGUCAAUAACCAAUAGCGGAACCUGGAUGAUCAUAUUGUUUCCUACAUAUUCUACGAAGAUCUUUAUCGGUCAAACCGCACAACAACAUACGUUGUUCCCUUUGUCAUUGAUAUGUUACUUGCCCGAGAUUCGAUCGUCGGUAUCAUCAUACCUAGUUCAAUCUCGUUACCGGCAAGUCUCUUUACUCGUUCCGUAAUGUAUCAUCCUGUGACUAACUCAUUAGUCACAUUGCUUGCAAGGCUUAUAGUGAUGAGCAUUACCGAGAGGGCCCAGAGAUACCUGUCCGAUACACAGAGUGACAAAUCCUAAUCUUGAUCUAUGCCAACUCAUCAAACACCAUCAGAGACACCUGUAGAGCAUCUUUAUAAUCACCCAGUUACAUUGUGACGUUUGAUAGCACACAAGGUGUUCCUCCGGUAUUCGGGAGUUGCAUAAUCUCAUAGUCAGAGGAACAUGUAUAAGUCAUGAAGAAAGCAAUAGCAGAAAAACUAAAUGAACAUUAUGCUAAGCUAACUGAUGGGUCUUGUCCAUCACAUCAUUCUCUAAUGAUGUGAUCCCGUUCAUCAAAUGACAACACAUUUCUAUGGCUAGGAAACUUAACCAUCUUUGAUUAACGAGCUAGUUAAGUAGAGGCAUACUAGGGACACUCUGUUUAUCUAUGUAUCCACACAUGUACUAAGUUUCCGGUUAAUACAAUUCUAGCAUGAAUAAUAAACAUUUAUCAUGAUAAAAGGAAAUAUAAAUAACAACUUUAUUAUUGCCUCUAGGGCAUAUUUCCUUCACACACGACAUGCCCCCUACCCUAGGUGUUGGGGAACGUAGUAAUUUCAAAAUUUUCCUACGCACACGCAAGAUCAUGGUGAUGCAUAGCAACGAGAGGGGAGAGUGUUGUCUACGUACCCUCAUAGACCGUAAGCGGAAGCGUUAUAUCAACGCGGUUGAUGUAGUCGUACGUCUUCACGAUCCGACCGAUCCAAGUACCGAAAGUACGGCACCUCCGAGUUCUGCACACAUUCGGCUCGGUGACAUCCUCGCCUUCUCGAUCCAGCAAGAGGGGCGAAGUAGUAGAUGAGUUCCGGCAGCACGACGGCGUGGUGACGGUGUUGGUGAAGAACAAUCUUCGCAGGGCUUCGCCUAAGCACUACGAAAACUAUGACGGAGGAUAAACUAGAGGAGACGGGGUUGCCGGCACACGGCUUGGUGUUUCUUGAUCUGUCUUGGGUGCUAGCCCUACCCCUCUAUUUAUAUGUUGAGCCUUGGGGUCGAAACUUGGAGUAAAAGCCUCCACAAAGUCAGUUUCACCCGAAAGGCAAGAGUCCUUCUUCGACUCCAGGGCCAGAUGCCAGGGUUCCCGGCGUCUGGACCCAGACGCGAGGGACCCUGGCAUCUGGCCCCUGGACUCCGCAAAACUUCCUUUUGUGCUUUCCAAAAACCCUGUGGGCUUUCCCCUUUGGCCCAAAUAAAGUGUUCUCGUACCCAAACAUUUCGGGAAACAUCCGGAACCCCUUCCGAUGGAUUCCGGAACCUUUCUGGAGAUCAAACACUACUAUCCACAUAUCAAUCUUUACUUCCGGACCAUUCCGGAGUUCCUCGUCAUAUCCGUGAUCUCAUCCAAAACUCCGAACAACAUUCGGUCACCAACAUACAUAACUCAUAGUACUAUAUCGUCAACAAACGUUAAGCGUGCGGACCCUACGGGUUCAAGAACUAUGUAGACAUGACCGAGACACCUCUCUUGUCAAUAACCAAUAGCGAGACCUGGAUGCCCAUAUUGGCUCCUACAUAUUCUACGAAGAUCUUUAUCGGUUAGACCGCAUAACAACAUAUGUUGUUCCCUUUGUCAUCGCUAUGUUACUUGCCCGAGAUUCGAUCGUCGGUAUCUCAAUACCUAGUUCAAUCUCGUUACCGGCAAGUCUCUUUACUCGUUCUGUAAUACAUCAUCCCGCAACUAACUCAUUAGUUGCAAUUCUUGCAAGGCUUAUAGUGAUGUGCAUUACCGAGUGGGCCCAGAGAUACCUCUCCGACAAUCGGAGUGACAAAUCCUAAUCUCGAAAUAUGCCAACCCAACAAGUACCUUCGGAGACACCUGUAGAGCACCUUUAUAAUCACCCAGUUACGUUGUGACGUUUGGUAGCACACAAAGUGUUCCUCCGGUAAACGGGAGUUGCAUAAUCUCAUAGUCAUAGGAACAUGUAUAAGUCAUGAAGAAAGCAAUAGCAACAUACUAAACGAUCAAGUGCUAAGCUAACCGAAUGGGUCAAGUCAAUCACAUCAUUCUCCUAAUGAUGUGAUCCCGUUAAUCAAAUAACAACUCAUGUCUAUGGCUAGGAAACAUAACCAUCUUUGAUCAACGAGCUAGUCAAGUAGAGGCAUACUAGUGACACUCUGUUUGUCUAUGUAUUCACACAAGUAUUAUGUUUCCGGUUAAUACAAUUCUAGCAUCAAUAAUAAACAUUUAUCAUGAUAUAAGGAAAUAAAUAAUAACUUUAUUAUUACCUCUAGGGCAUAUUUCCUUCAGUCUCCCACUUCCACUAGAGUCAAUAAUCUAGUUCACAUCGCCAUGUGAUUUAACACCAAUAUUUCACAUCACCAUGUGAUUAACACCCAUAGUUCACGUCGUCAUGUGACCAACACCCAAGGGUUUACUAGAGUCAAUAAUCUAGUUCACAUCGCUAUGUGAUUAACACCCAAAGAGUACUAAGGUGUGAUCAUGUUUUGCUUGUGAGAGAAAUUUAGUCAAUGGGUCAGCAACAUUCAGAUUCGUAUGUAUUUUGCAAAUUUCCAUGUUAACAAUGCUCUGCACGGAGCUACUCUAGCUAAUUGCUCCCACUUUCAAUAUGUAUCCAGAUUGAGACUUAGAGUUAUCUGGAUCAGUGUCAAAACUUGAAUCAACGUAAACCUUUACGACGAAUCUUUUGUCACCUCCAUAAUCGAGAGAACAUAUCCUUAUUCCACUAAGGAUAAUUUUGACCGUUGUCUAGUGAUCUACUCCUAGAUCACUAUUGUACUCCAUUGCUAACUCAGCGUAGGGUAUACAAUAGAUCUGGUACACAACAUGGCAUACUUUAUAGAACCUAUGGCUGAGGCAUAGGGAAUGACUUUCAUUCUCUUUCUAUCUUCUGUCGUGGUCGGGCUUUGAGUCUUACUCAAUUUCACACCUUGUAACACAGGCAAGAACUCUUUCUUUGACUGUUCCAUUUUGAACUACUUCAAAUCUUGUCAAGGUAUGUACUCAUUGAAAAAACUUAUCAAGCGUCUUGAUCUAUCUCUAUAGAUCUUGAUGCUCAAUAUGUAAGCAGCUUCACCGAGGUCUUUCUUUGAAAAAACUCCUUUUAAAUAUUCCUUUAUGCUUUCCAGAAAAUUCUACAUUAUUUUCGAUCAACAAUAUGUCAUUCACAUAUAUUUAUCAGAAAUGUUGUAGUGCUCCCCCUCACUCUCUUGUAAAUACAGGCUUCACCGCAAGUCUGUAUAAAACUAUAUGCUUUGAUCAACUCAUCAAAGCGUAUAUUCCAACUCCGAUAUGCUUGCACCAGUCCAUAGAUGGAUCGCUGGAGCUUGCACAUUUUGUUAGCAUCUUUAGGAUCGAAAAAACCUUCUGGUUGAAUCAUAUACAACUCUUCUUUAAGAAAUCCAUUAAGGAAUGCGGUUUUGUUUAUCCAUUUGCCAGAUUUCAUAAAAUGCAGCAAUUGCUAACAUGAUUCGGACAGACUUAAGCAUCGCUACGAGUGAGAAAAACUCAUCGUAGUCAACACCUUGAACUUGUCGAAAACCUUUUGCGACAAUUUGAGCUUUGUAGAUAGUAACACUACUAUCAGCGUCCGUCUUCCUCUUGAAGAUCCAUUUUAUUCACUAUGCCUUGCCGAUCAACAGGAAAGUCAACCAAAGUCCACACUUUGUUCUCAUACAUGGAUCCCAUCUCAGAUUUCAUGGCCUCAAGCCAUUUUUGCGGAAUCUGGGCUCAUCAUCGCUUCCUCAUAGUUCGUAGGUUCGUCAUGGUCAAGUAACAUGAUCUCCAGAAUAGGAUUACCGUACCACUCUGGUGCGGAUCUCACUCAGGUUGACCUACAAGGUUCGGUACUAACUUGAUCUGAAGUUACAUGAUCAUCAUCAUUAACUUCCUCACUAAUUGGUGUAGGCGUCACUGGAACAUAUUUCUGUGAUGAACUACUUUCCAAUAAGGGAGCAGAUAUAGUUACCUCAUCAAGUUCUACUUUCCUCCCACUCACUUCUUUGGAGAGAAACUCUUUCUAUAGAAAGGAUCCAUUCUUAGCAACGAAUGUCUUGCCUUCGGAUCUGUGAUAGAAGGUGUACCCAACAGUCUCCUUUGGGUAUCCUAUGAAGACACAUUUUUCCGAUUUGGGUUUGAGCUUAUCAGGAUGAAACUUUUUCACAUAAGCAUCGCAACCCCAAACUUUAAGAAACGACAACUUUGGUUUCUUGCCAAACCACAGUUCAUAUGGUGUCGUCUCAACGGAUUUAGAUGGUGCCCUAUUUAAUGUGAAUGCAGCUGUCUCUAAUGCAUAACCCCAAAAUGAUAGUGGUCAAUCGGUAAGAGACAUCAUAGAUUGCACCAUAUCUAAUAAAGUACGGUUAUGACGUUCGGACACACCAUUAUGCUGUGAUGUUCCAGGUGGCAUGAGUUUGUAAAACUAGUUCACAUUGUUUUAAUUGAAGACCAAACUCAUAACUCAAAUAUUCGUCUCUGUGAUCAGAUCGUAGAAACUUUAUUUUCUUGUUACGAUGAUUCUCCACUUCACUUUGAAAUUCUUUGAACUUUUCAAAUGUUUCAGACUUGUGCUUCAUUAAGUAUAGAUACUCAUAUCUGCUCAAAUCAUCUGUGAAGGUCAGAAAAUAACGAUACCCGUCACGAGCAUCAACACUUAUUGGACCGCAUACAUCGGUAUGUAUUAUUUCCAACAAGUCAGUAGCUCGUUCCAUUGUUCCGAAGAACGGAGUUUUAGUCAUCUUGCCCAAAAGGCACGGUUCGCAAGCAUCAAAUGAUUCAUAACCAAGUGAUUCCAAAAGUCCAUCUUUAUGGAGUUUCUUCAUGCGCUUUACACCAAUAUGACCUAAACGGCAGUGCCACAAAUAAGUUGCACUAUCAUUAUUAACUUUGCAUCCUUUGGCUUCAAUAUUAUGAAUAUGUGUAUCACUACUAUCGAGAUCCAAUGAACCAUUUUCAUUGGGUGUGUAACCAUAUAAGGUUUUAUUCAUGUAAACAGAACAACAAUUAUUCUCUAACUUAAAUGAAUAACCGUAUUGCAAUAAACAUGAUCAAAUCAUAUUCAUGAUCAACGCAAACACCAAAUAACACUUGUUUAGGUUCAACACUAAUCCCGAAAGUAUAGGGAGUGUGCGAUGAUGAUCAUAUCAAUCUUGGAACUAUUUCCAACACACAUCGUCACCCCGCCCUUAACUAGUUUCUGUUCAUUCUGCAACUCCUGUUUCGAGUUACUACUCUUAGCAACUGAACCAGUAUCAAAUGCCGAUGGGUUGCUAUAAACACUAGUAAAGUACACAUCAAUAACAUGUAUAUCCAAUAUAACUUUGUUCACUUUGCCAUCCUUCUUAUCCGUCAAGUAUCUAGGGUAGUUCCACUUCCAGUGACCAGUCCCUUUGCAGUAUAAGCACUCAGUCUCAGGCUUAGGUCCAAACUUGGGCUUCUUCACUUGAGCAGCAACUUGCUUGCCAUUCUUCUUGAAGUUCCCCUUCUUUCCUUUACCCUUUUCCUUGAAACUAGUGGUCUUGUUAACCAUCAAAACUUGAUGCUCUUUCUUGAUUUCUACCUUCGCCGAUUUCAGCAUCGCGAAGAGCUCGGGAAUUACUUUCGUCAUCCCUUGCAUAUUAUAGUUCAUCACGAAGUUCUAUUAACUUGGUGAUAGUGACUAGAGAACUUUUUCAAUUACUAUCUUAUCUGGAAGAUUAACUCCCACUUGAUUCAAGUAAUUGUAGUACUCAAACAAUCUCAGCACAUGCUCACUAGUUGAGCUAUUCUCCUCCAUCUUAUAGGCAAAGUUUUGUCAGAGGUCUCAUACCUCUCGACAUGGGCAUGAGUAAUACCUCUCGACAUGGGCAUGAGUAUGAAAUACCAAUUUCAACUCUUGGAACAUCUCAUAUGCUCCAUGUCGUUCAAAAACAUUUUUGAAGCCCUGAUUCUUAGCCGUAAAGCAUGGUGCACUAAACUAUCAAGUAGUCAUCAUACCGAGCUUUGCUAAACGUUCAUAACGUCUGCAUAUGCUCCUGCAAUAGGUCCGUCACCUAGCGGUGCAUCAAGGACAUAAUUCUUCUAUGCAGCAAUGAGGAUAAUCCUCAGAUCACGAACCAAGUCCGCAUCAUUGCUACUAACAUCUUUCAACAUAGUUUUUCUCUAGGAACAUAUCAAAAUAAACGGGGAGCAACAUCGCGAGCUAUUGAUCUACAACAUAGAUAUGCUAAUACUACCAGGACUAAGUUCAUGAUAAAUUAUAGUUCAAUUAAUCAUAUUACUUAAGAACUCCCACUUAGAUAGACAUCCCUCUAAUCAUCUAAGUGAUCACGUGAUCCAUAUCAACUAAACCAUGUCCGGUCAUCACGUGAGAUGGAGUAGUUUUCAAUGGUGAACAUCACUAUGUUGAUCAUAUCUACUAUAUGAUUCACGCUCGACCUUUCGGUCUCAGUGUUCCGAGGCCAUAUCUGCAUAUGCUAGGCUCGUCAAGUUUAACCUGAGCAUUCCGUGUGUGCAACUGUUUUGCACCCGUUGUAUUUGAACAUAGAGCCUAUCACACCCGAUCAUCACGUGGUGUCUCAGCACGAAGAACUUUUGCAACGGUGCAUACUCAGGGAGAACACUUAUACCAUGAAAUUUAGUGAGAGAUCAUCUUAUAAUGCUACCGUCAAUCAAAGCAAGAUAAGAUGCAUAAAAGAUAAACAUCACAUGCAAUCAAUAUAAGUGAUAUGAUAUGGCCAUCAUCAUCUUGUGCUUGUGAUCUCCAUCUCCGAAGCACCAUCAUGAUCACCAUCGUCACCGGCGCGACACCUUGAUCUCCAUCGUAGCAUCGUUGUUGUCUCGCCAAUCUUAUGCUUCUACGACUAUCGCUAACUCUUAGUGAUAAAGUAAAGCAUUACAGGGCGAUUGCAUUGCAUACAAUAAAGCGACAACCAUAUGGCUCCUGCCAGUUGCCGAUAACUCGGUUACAAAACAUGAUCAUCUCAUACAAUAAAAUAUAGCAUCAUGUCUUGACCAUAUCACAUCACAACAUGCCCUGCAAAAACAAGUUAGACGUCCUCUACUUCGUUGUUGCAAGUUUUACGUGGCUGCUACGGGCUGAGCAAGAACCGUUCUUACCUACGCAUCAAAACCACAACGAUAGUUCGUCAAGUUAGUGUUGUUUUAACCUUCUCAAGGACCGGGCGUAGCCACACUCGGUUCAACAAAAGUUGGAGAAACUGACACCCGCCAGCCACCUGUGUGCAAAGCACGUCGGUAGAACCAGUCUCGCGUAAGCGUACACGUAAUGUCGGUCCGGCCGCUUCAUCCAAUAAUACAGCCGAACCAAAGUAUGACAUGCUGGUAAGCAGUAUGACUUGUAUCGCCCACAACUCACUUCUGUUCUACUCGUGCAUAUAACAUCUACGCAUAAAACCUGGCUCGGAUGCCACUGUUGGGGAACGUAGUAAUUUCAAAAAUUUCCUACACACACGCAAGAUCAUGGUGAUGCAUAGCAACGAGAGGGGAGAGUGGUGUCUACGUACCCUCGUAGACCGUAAGCGGAAGCGUUAUAUCAACGCGGUUGAUGUAGUCGUACGUCUUCACGAUCCGACCGAUCCAAGUACCGAAAGCACGGCACCUCCGAGUUCUGCACACGUUCGGCUCGGUGACGUCCUCGCCUUCUCGAUCCAGCAAGAGGGGCGAAGUAGUAGAUGAGUUCCGGCAGCACGACGGCAUGGUGACGGUGUUGGUGAAGAACAAUCUUCGCAGGGCUUCGCCUAAGCACUACGAAAACUAUGACGGAGGAUAAACUAGAGGAGACGGGGUUGCCGGCACACGGCUUGGUGUUUCUUGAUCUGUCUUGGGUGCUAGCCCUACCCCUCUAUUUAUAUGUUGAGCCUUGGGGUCGAAACUUGGAGUAAAAGCCUCCACAAAGUCGGUUUCACCCGAAAGGCAAGAGUCCUUCUCGGACUCCAGGGCCANNNNNNNNNNNNNNNNNNNNNNNNNNNNNNNNNNNNNNNNNNNNNNNNNNNNNNNNNNNNNNNNNNNNNNNNNNNNNNNNNNNNNNNNNNNNNNNNNNNNNNNNNNNNNNNNNNNNNNNNNNNNNNNNNNNNNNNNNNNNNNNNNNNNNNNNNNNNNNNNNNNNNNNNNNNNNNNNNNNNNNNNNNNNNNNNNNNNNNNNNNNNNNNNNNNNNNNNNNNNNNNNNNNNNNNNNNNNNNNNNNNNNNNNNNNNNNNNNNNNNNNNNNNNNNNNNNNNNNNNNNNNNNNNNNNNNNNNNNNNNNNNNNNNNNNNNNNNNNNNNNNNNNNNNNNNNNNNNNNNNNNNNNNNNNNNNNNNNNNNNNNNNNNNNNNNNNNCGCAAAACUUCCUUUUGCGCUUUCCAAAAGCCUUGUGGGCUUUCCCCUUUGGCCCAAAUAAAGUGUUCUCAUACCCAAACAUUUCGGGAAACAUCCGGAACCCCUUCCGAUGGAUUCCGGAACCUUUCCGGAGAUCAAACACUACUAUCCACAUAUCAAUCUUUACUUCCGGACCAUUCCAGAGUUCCUCGUCAUAUCCGUGAUCUCAUCCAAAACUCCGAACAACAUUCGGUCACCAACAUACAUAACUCAUAGUACUAUAUCGUCAACGAACGUUAAGCGUGCGGACCCUACGGGUUCGAGAACUAUGUAGACAUGACCGAGACACCUCUCUUGUCAAUAACCAAUAGCGGGACCUAGAUGCCCAUAUUGGCUCCUACAUAUUCUACGAAGAUCUUUAUCGGUCAGACCGCAUAACAACAUACGUUGUUCCCUUUGUCAUCGGUAUGUUACUUGCCCGAGAUUCGAUCGUCGGUAUCUCAAUACCUAGUUCAAUCUCGUUACCGGCAAGUCUCUUUACUCGUUCUGUAAUACCUCAUCCCGCAACUAACUCAUUAGUUGCAAUGCUUGCAAGGCUUAUAGUGAUGUGCAUUACCGAGUGGGCCCAGAGAUACCUCUCCGACAAUCGGAGUGACAAAUCUUAAUCUCGAAAUACGCCAACCCAACAAGUACCUUCGGAGACACCUGUAGAGCACCUUUAUAAUCACCUAGUUAUGUUGUGACGUUUGGUAGCACACAAAGUGUUCCUCCGGUAAACGGGAGUUGCAUAAUCUCAUAGUCAUAGGAACAUGUAUAAGUCAUGAAGAAAGCAAUAGCAACAUACUAAACGAUCAAGUGCUAAGCUAACCGAAUGGGUCAAGUCAAUCACAUCAUUCUCCUAAUGAUGUGAUCCCGUUAAUCAAAUAACAACUCAUGUCUAUGGCUAGGAAACAUAACCAUCUUUGAUCAACGAGCUAGUCAAGUAGAGGCAUACUAGUGACACUCUGUUUAUCUAUGUAUUCACACAAGUAUUAUGUUUCCGGUUAAUACAAUUCUAGCAUGAAUAAUAAACAUUUAUCAUGAUAUAAGGAAAUAAAUAAUAACUUUAUUAUUACCUCUAGGGCAUAUUUCCUUCACUAGGGCGCGCCGGGCAGGCUUGUGGCUACCCCGUAAGUCAGUUGUGGGUGUCCUUCUGUCAUAAGGAAGCUAAUAUCUGGAUAAAAAUCCCAUCAAAAUUUUAGCCCAAUCGGAGUUACGAAUCUCCGGGAAUAUAAGAAACGGUGAAGGGCCAGAAAACAGGAACGCGAAACAGAAGAAAAAAAUACACACACACACAGAGAGAGAGAGAGAGAGGAGGGGGGCUCUCUCCCCCUCUCCUAUCUCUCUCUCUAUCGAUUAUGGUUGGGUUUUAAUUUACCUUAGUUAUCUUUAGUAGUUGCGAAUGCUUGUGUGAGUGCUAGCUAGCUACCUGCCCACCGCCGCUGGCCGCCAUGUGCGAGGGCUCUGCAGCCGCUUGUGCUAGCUAGCUAGUCGUGCCUGUGCAUGCUAGCUAGCCAGCCGGUUAGGGGCUGAGCCAGGAUUUGAGCAUAGGGGGGCCAAGAGACGAUGACCAAAAAAAUAGUUAACAUCGUAGAUAUAUUCAAUGCUUUUGAUAUACACUGGUGCGCGUCGGUGCUAUAUAAACGGUUUUUAACCCCUUUCUGCGAUGGCAUUUGGAACUGUCGCCAAGUGAGUGUGGGCGAUAGGGGGGUCCUUCCCACACGACCCAGAAACCGUCGGGGAUAGGGAGCCUUGAUGCAUACAGUUGUCCCUAUAUAACUGUUUCCGAUAUCUUGAAUAUCCCAAACGCUUCAUCCUUGCUACUCGUGUGUGCUUGCAUUGCCAUCGCAGUCGGAGUUUUGUGGUUUUACCUAAAACCAGGCAGAUUCCAGGAACGGGAGCUUUCCAGGAAGAUUCCAAGCACGGGAGUUUAAUAAUGCUUGGCACAUCACAAACAAUUCAGGAUUAUAAACCGUGUACGAUAGGUAGACAAUCACACACAUUUAGUUUUCCCGCACCGUAUGUGAUAGUGUCUGACAUCACACAUGCUUUGCAAACGACAACUGUGUGCAUGCUUGCACACGUUUCCUCUCUGUGAACCGUCUCGGAUUAUGGAGUAUAUCACAAACGUUUGUGUUUUACCAACCGUGUGUGCCGUAAUGACCUGCACAACGUAAUUUCGCCCUAAUUUAAUUGCUGUUAUUUAAAAUUGUACCUAAUUUAAACUUGAAAGUAGGCUAUAGCUUUAUUCAUAUCCAUCAGGUUCAAACAACCAAUGCAUUAUUCGAUUCACAGGUACAUAUGUUUAAGAAUUACAUAAGCACCAAAUAAAGAAUGAUGAACCAGGGUUCUAUACUUGUACUAUUACAGAUGGUAAAGAAAGAGGCGACAGACAUUCCGGUUGCUGAACAAGGUGAAGCGGACGGCCCUAUUGUGCUCUCCUGGAUGCAGAAGGCAUGUAGGACUCUAGUCCAACCCUUGUGAUGGUCGGACGCUAAUCAUGUAGUUUGAGAGGUAAUCUUGAGCAAACUGCUUCAGGAUCCACUGCAAAAGAAAAAAGAUUCAGAUAUUGUCAUCUAACACAACUCAUUACGGGCAGUAAAAAGAAGGCUACAUGGUUCUUACUUACCAUCCUGCAGUUCACUGUUGUCUUGCAUAAAGUGUAAACAAAUAGUUCGAUUGACAUCUUUUGACCCAGUUUAAUAACAAUCUUUAUCAGUUUCCUCACUUGAUGCUGGUUCAUGGAUAUCUCAUUGCCCCAUUGAUACGUCUCCAACGUAUCUAUAAUUUAUGAAGUAUUCAUGCCAUGUUUACAAUAGUUUUAUAUGAUUUUGGUAUGAUUUGAUUAGAACUAACCUGGACUGACGUUGUUCUCAGUAGAACUACUGUGGUGUUGUUUUUGUGCAGAAAUAAAAGUUCUCGGAAUGCGAUGAAAAUCAACGGAGAAUUUUUCUGGAAAAUAUGAAAAAUACUGGAACAAAAAUCUACCGGAGGGGAAUCCCAUGGGCCCCACGAGGGCCCCCCUGACGUGAAAUCAAUGCCAACUCCUCCUAUAAAUCAAGAAAAACCCAGAACAGAACCUAGAUCGGAAGUUCCGCCGCCGCAAGCCUCUGUAGCCGCGAGAAAUCAAUCUAGGCCCUCUCUGGCACCCUGGCGGAGGGGGCCAUCAUCACCGGUGGCCAUGGAGGAGGAUCCCAGAGGGGCCAUCAUUGCCAUGAAGGCCAAAGACCAGAGGGAGAACCUCUCCCCAUCCAGGGGGGAGGCCAUGGAGGAGGAAGCACAAGGGGGAGAACCUCUCCUCCUCUCUCUCGGUGGUGCCGGAGUGCCAUCGGGAGGGGAAUCAUCGCCGCGGUGAUCGUCUUCAUCAACAUCACCAUCACCAUCACCAUCCUCAUCUCUUUUACGCGGUCCACUCUCCCGCACCCCGCUGUAAUCCCUACUUGAACAUGGUACUUUAUGCCACAUAUUAUGAUCCAAUGAUGUGUUACCAUCCUAUGAUGUUUUGAGUAGAUAUCCUUUGUCUUUGGGUUGAUUGAUGAUCUAGAUUGGUAUGAGUUGUAUGUUUUACUUUGAUGCUAUCCUAUGGUUCCCUCCGUGUCACGCAAGCAUGAGGGAUUCCCGCUGUAGGGUGUUGCAAUAUGUCCAUGGUUUACUUAUUGUCUGCGUUGCUUGAGUGACAGAAGCAUAAACACGGAUAAGUGGGUCACGGCGUAUGGGAUAAAGGGGACUUGAUGCUUUAAUGAUGUGGUUGGGUUUUACCUUAAUGAUCUUUAGUAGUUGCGGAUGCUUGCUAGAGUUCCAAUCAUAAGUGCAUAUGAACCAAGACGAGAAAGUAUGUUAGCUUAUGCCUCUCCCUCAUAUGAAAUUGCAAUAGUGAUUACUGAUCUUGUUAACAAUUGCCUAGGACAAUUCUGCACACUGACCCAUCAUUAUUCCACACUCGCUAUUUAUAAUAUUUAGUAAUAUAUUCUAACUUUAUGAUAACAGCACCUACUUUUAUAUUUUAGCUCUCCGAUAUCAUUCAAAGUUAUCCUCUUCAUAGCCACAACGUAGUUUUAUUUCUCGUUUCUAGUUGGAAGCAAACGUUCAGUGUACGUAGAGUCGUAUCAGUGGCAGAUAGGACUUGAGAGAAUAUUGAUCUUACCUUUCGCUCCUUGUGGGUUCGACACUCCAUACUUAUCACUUCCACCAUUGGGAAUUGCUACGAUGAUUCCCUGCACUUGGGGAUUAUCACCCAUACGCAGAAAUGGUCGAAGUGUGGAUCUUUGGUAAUGAUAUAUGUACCUAAAAGCGCCAAGUUAAUAUUAGAAGCUAAACAACAAUUGAAAAAUGAUGUAGUACAACACUCCCUCCAUCCCAUUAUAUACGAUUUUAUUACAUGUAUAUCUAGACAUCAUCAGAACAUUAAGGUAACACUAUGCCUUGUUGCUAUGUAGCCUGGGAUUGCAUCUUUAGUCAUUCAGUACAAUGCACAUUGCUAAAUAACAAUUGAAAAAUGAAAAGGCAUGUUAACUGCAAUAUCCUUAACAGCAACCAAAUAUCAUAAUUCAUAGUGGUAUUGUCGAAACUGUUAUUGAUGAAAUUGAACUGCACGGCAAAUAGUUGCACAUAUAGAGCAUCACAUUGUGAAGAACUGAAGUAAACAAGUCAUAAGGACAUCUCUAGGCGAUCCUUAAAAAGUUAAAGGAGUAAGACCCUUAGUGGAUAUAUAUAUACUCUAGCAAUUUUUGGCCUUUUCUAGUCGAUCACCUAAACUUAAGGUUGUAAACUUCAAUUUCGUCAAGUUCAAAGCAGGUUCAACCGAAAGUAGCAUGCAUUCAAACAUAAACAUAGAAAGUUUUGCAUAACCGAACAUAAAACAUAAAUUUAAACUAAGCUAAACUACUUUCGGUCGAAGUAGAGGUCGAGCCAAUCCUUCCUCGUCAAGUACGGUGUGCCGCGAUCCGGGUCCGGGCCGGUACCGUCGUUGGAGUUGUUGGGGAAGGCACUCCUCCACUCGUCGACGUCGAUCUCCUCGUCCUCGGGGCCCACCUCAACGCCCUCCGCGUCGCCGUCGCCGCCGCCUUCGACCUCGUCAUCGGAGGAGAGCGUGAUAACCUCGCCGCCCUCCACGCCGGCAAAGAUCGCCCGCUCCGCCUCCACGAGCUUAGGGUGCUGCCGGCAGAGCUCUUGCAUGUAGGCCUCAUCAGCGGCCUUGGCCUCGAGGCGCUCCCACGCCUCACGGUCCUCCCGUGCCAUAGCCGAGCUCACCACCCGUGGCUCCAGCGGAACGAGGUCAACCGGACGUGUGCCGAAGGGGAAAUUGAGCCUAGCCUCCGCACCGUGGUAGCGGACCUGCCAGAGUUUGUACUCCAUGGCCGCGAGCUCGGCCGUGUGGAAGCUACCGAGCCACCGGCGGGUGUGGGUCUCUCGAUCUAUAAUCUCGGCGACCCACGUCCCCCACCGCCGCUGCCAGACCCCGAGGUAGGACCUCGUCGUCUGCUGGGUCCGAGGGAGGACGGGGAAGUCCUCGAACCGGCAUAGGGGCGCAGCGGCGGGCAGAUCAGGGGACCGGCGACGGUGGAUCGGGCCCGCGGAGGACGACGGGGACACCUCGGCGGCCACCUCGCCGGCGUCGGGCGAAAAGGCCGCGAUAAACCUCUUUUUGGCCAUUGGCUCCUCGAGCUCCCCGGCACACAGGCAGAGGUUGAGGAUGGAGGCGUCGGCGAUGGCGACAACCUACCAAUGGUUUCGAGGGGGGCAAGGUUGUGUUUGAGGAAAUACUGCGGCAACUGCAAAUUUUACUAGGCGGGGGUAACAAGGCGGGGCUAAUGAAAAUUUGGAUCAAGGGCGAGCAGAUAUUUUUUAGAUUACGAGGGAUGCAGAGGCGGGAGUAAAAUGCCGGGGCUACUGAAAAUUUGAAUCAAGGGACUGAAGCAGGUGGGAGUUUUUGGGGAGCGAGCUAGUGUGCUUGACAUGCCGGCUAUGGACUGUAGCCGAUGCACCUUCUCGCGUAAGCCAUAGGUGUACUAUACACCGACGGUGCUCCAAGAUAUUGUGUACUAUGAUAACCCACAAGUAUAGGGGAUCAAUUUUAGCCUCUUUCGAUAAGUAAGAGUGUCGAACCCAACGAGGAGCUAAAGGUAGAACAAAUAUUCCCUCAAGUUCUAUCGACCACCGAUACAACUCUACGCACGCUUAACGUUCGCUUUACCUAGAACAAGUAUGAAACUAGAAGUACUUUGCAGGUGUUGUUGGAUAGGUUUGCAAGAUAAUAAAGAGCGCGUAAAUAAAAAGUAGGGGCUGUUUAGAUGAAGACACAACUAAGUUAGUUUUAGUAGAGAGCUUUUGUCACACAAGAAAGUUAUUUGUCCCUAGGCAAUCGAUAACUAGACCGGUAAUCAUUAUUGCAAUUUUAUUUGAGGGAGAUGCAUAAGCUAACAUACUUUCUCUCCUUGGAUCAUAUGCACUUAUGAUUGGAACUCUAGCAAGCAAAUGCAACUACUAACGAUCAUUAAGGUAAAACCCACCCAUAGCAUUAAAGUAUCAAGUCCUCUUUAUUCCCAUACGCAAACAACCUACUUACUCGGGUCUGUGCUUCUAUCACUCACGCCACCCACCAUAAGCAAAUCAUGGACAUAUUGCAAACCAUACAACGGGGAUCCCUCACGCUUGCGCGACACGGAGAGCACCAUAGGACAACACCAAUAAUAAAACAUGCAACUCAAACCAAUCACGAUCAUCAAUGAACCCAUAGGACAAAAUGGAUCUACUCAAACAUCAUAGGAUAGCCAUACAUCAUUGGGAAAUAAUAUAUAGCUUUGAGCACCAUGUUUAAGUAGAGAUUACAGCAGGUAAAAGAGGGGUUACAUCGCUGCAUAGAGGGGGGAAGAGUUGGUAAUGACGGCGGUGAAGUUGUUGGUGUAGAUCGUUGUCGCGAUGGUGGCCCCGGCGGCGUUUCGGCGCCACCGGAAUAGAGGGGUGUCGGUGUCAAAACCGGCUGAUCUCGGGUAGGGGGUCCCGAACUGUGCGUCUAAGGCAGAUGGUAACAGGAGGCGGGGGACACGAUGUUUACCCAGGUUCCGGCCCUCUCGAUGGAGGUAAUACCCUACUUCCUGCUUGAUUGAUCUUGAUGAUAUGAGUAUUACAAGAGUUGAUCUACCACGAGAUCAUAGAGGCUAAACCCUAGAAGCUAGCCUAUGGUAUGAUUGUUGUUGUCCUACGGACUAAACCCUCCGGUUUAUAUAGACACCGGAGGGGGCUAGGGUUACACAGAGUCGGUUACAAGGGAGGAGAUCUACAUAUCCGUAUUGCCAAGCUUGUUUUCCAUGCCAAGGAGAGUCCCAUCCGGACACAGGUUGAAGUCUUCAAUCUUGUAUCUCCAUAGCCCAACAGUCCAGCCAAAGGAUAUAGUCCAGCUGUCCGAGGACCCCCUAAUCCAGGACUCCCUCAGUAGCCCCUGAACCAGGCUUCAAUGACGAUGAGUCCGGCGCGCAAAUUGUCUUCGGCAUUGCAAGGCGGGUUCCUCCUCCGAAUACACAAGGAUAGUGUCCGGCUCUGCAAAACAAAUUCCACAUACCAUCGUAGAGAGAAUAAUAUAUCACGAGAUUCUCAUCAAUACGGGUGUGGGUAACCCAGCCGCGCCAUCAAUCACGGCGCUUGGGGAAUAAGCGAUUUUACUGGGCAAGUGGGGAGGCGCAGAAUACUUGCUGCCUUUAUAAGGGGAUAAGAACGCCAUUCGCACCCACGCUUUCUUCUUCCCGAUCCAUUCCCCUCCGCCCGAGCUCCAGUGCCCCAGCGUUCAUCUUUUCUGCCCACAAAGGCCUUCCGAAAAUGUCCGGAUCUGGAGCAGGAGGCAAAUGGAUGGCCUCUACCGUCCGGGAGAAGGAUAUCAAAAAGCUUCGGGAGGCCGGGUAUCUGGCCAAGAAAAUCAGCCACCAUCUCCCGACGGCGGGACAGAUCGUCCCUACUCCGGAACCCCACGAGAGGGUUGUAUUCCUCCCUCACUUUGUCCGCGGGCUAGGGUUUCCCCUCCACCCAUUCGUUCGCGGCAUCAUGUAUUACUAUGGGAUCGAUCUUCACGAUCUGUCCCCUAAUUCCUUCCUCAACAUCUCGACAUUCAUUGUCGUGUGUGAGGCUUUUCUCCGCAUCUCGCUGCACUUUGGCUUAUGGCUGAAGAUUUUUAAUGUGAAGCCGAAGGUAGUGGGCGGCGAGCACGCCGAGUGCGGGGGCGCUAUGGUGAGCAAGAUGCCCGAUGUCAUAUGGCCAACAGGAACCUUUAAUGAUUCUGUCAAGGAGUGGCAACAGCAGUGGUUUUAUAUCACUGAGCCGCGCGGCACUAAAUGGGCCGCUAUUCCCGAGUUUCGAUCCGGUGCCCCCCUGCGGCUUACAUCCUGGGUCAAGAAGGGCCUGGACUGGUCCUCGUCCGACGAACUGUCGGUGCUGCAGACGCAUGUUAAAGAUAUGGGAGACAAGAACAUUGAACUUGUCAAUGUAGUCCAGGUGAUGUUAGUUCGCAGGAUUCUGCCUUGUCAACACCGGACUUGCAAUCUAUGGGAAUUCGAUCCGGCCAGGCACCAAACCUUGCGAGAGAUUUUAGGCUCCUCGCACAAGGACAUCUGGAAGGUGCUUUUCAAGUCCAGCAAAUCAUGGCCAGACUCCGCCGAGGACCGCGGGUACCAACUGUCCCGCCCUGCAAGUUCGGUAAGUCAUCAAACUUUUUAUCGGCGUAACCCAAAGGAAGCGCUUAACGUGUUUUAUACAACUCUCCCAGGGCUGGACGAAGAAGGCGGAGCGGAUCCAUUGUCCGGCCCCGCUGCCCGAUGAACCGGCCGUCCCACUUCUGAUGAAGAUGCUGGUCCCGGUGCCUUACAAGGUGCCGAAGAAGACGGCUGAGAAGGAGGCCAAAAAGACCCGGGGCGGCCUUCGUCGCCGCGGCACUUCGGACACAAUAUCCGAAGGCUCUGAUGCCCGUUCCGCCUCCAAAGAGGACGAGGAGGAGGAGGAAGAUGAAUCCCCCGCGGGGGGAAGAAAGAAGAGGGCGGCCUCCGAACGCUUGGAGGCCGGGUCGCCUAAAAGGGGAAAAGCUCCUCUUCCGGAAGAGUCCACUGCCGCCGCCGAUAGCGACCCGGCGUGGGAUCCUAGGGCCCAGCCCCUGGUGACCUCGUGAGUAUAUAAAAUCCGGAUACGUUUGUGUGUCCAGACUUAUCAUGGCAUAAAAUUUUAACCUGAGCCAUGUUUUUUGUAGUCCGGCGAGGUCUCGCACCGAACAAUCCUCAUCAGAGGAUUUGCUGAGCUCGGAUGCUAUGGAGAGUGGGACGCCCCCGAAGGCCCCCUCUACCAAACAGGUGAAUAACACCGAGGCUUUGUCCCAGAAGGACCCCGGCCAAGGAGGAGAGGGAAAGACCGUGAAGGUGGCGCCUGGAGGUCAAACUUCAGGGGCCGGACACAUGGGGUAAAAGAUUCCCAUGGGAGCUGACGGCGGGGGCCAUCUUGAAUUCGGCUCCCAGCCGGAUGCGAUUCCGGAGAUCUAUACGGCUCUAGAAUCAAGCAAGCAGCCUCCCUCAGCUGGAGGGGGCGUGCCUGUUCCACCGGCAACCUCUAUCCAACCAGAGGUGUCGGAUGCUUUGUUGGUGGCGCUGAAGAGCGCCUCCAUCGUUGAUGAACAUCGUGCCCUUAUGGGUGCGGUGAUUGAGAAGAUUCAGUCUGCUGAGAGUGGACUGAACGAAGCCUAUAUCAGCCUUAUAAGAGGCUUUGAGGUAUGUUUUAUGAGUUUUCGAAGAGUGUCAUAGUAUAGAUAGUAGCCCCUGAUACACUGUUCGGUGAAAGAAAGAACCGGACAGAGGAUCGAAUUUAUGUUCGCAAGAAGACUCGUUGAAUGACAUCUAUUUCUCUUCUGUUAUAAGCAUGCGUCUGUAGCAUCAGCUGCCUCUCAUACUGCAGAGAUCUCCGGACUGAAUCAAAGUCUGGAGCGGGCCAAAGAAGAACUUGGCCAGUUAAAAAUGCAGUUGAGAGAUAAACAAGGUAUGCACAAGUCUUGUUUGUGUUUAUUGCGAAUGAAUUUUCAGUAUGAUAAAAUAAGCUUCAUGAUUUGCGCUAGGGAUUGUGAUCGAAGUCGAGGCCCUUAAGAAGGUUGUGGCCGAGGCCGAGAAAAAGGCAGCCACAGAGUAGGCUCUUCGUGAGAAGCACGAGGCCAGGGUUAUUAAAGCUGAGCAGGAGCUGCAAGAGGCCGUGAGGAAAUGCGAGACCUUGGAGCAGAGUUUAACGGAGAAAGAAUCCGAACUCACCAAGGCGCAUCAGGCCACGAGCGAUGCCCGGGGGAAACCCAAAGCGCCCUGCAGGGGAUCCAAGAGGCGAGAAAGAUCGCGGCGGGUAAGGCUUUUUCCAUGUAAAGCAAGUAUUUGAGGGAAAUUUAUGUUUCUAAUUUUGAAUUCGGAUUUCUCAGGGUUAUUUGCCGAGCUGCCCCGCAGCAUAUCAGAUGCCGCCCAAUUCUACCGAGCCGAAGAAAGGAGCACUGCGGAUAAGCUCUUCUGGUCGCAGUAUUUGGCGCCGAAUUAUCCGGUGCCUUUUGCCGAUCAACUGAAACAGCUGAUCGAACUGCAUAAGGCGGCGGAACUAGCCAUGAAAGAUUUGGUUAUCCGGCUAUGGCCUGCCGAGCCGAUUCCAAGCAGCUACUUCGGGCUCGUGAAGCGGCUUGUAAGAGCUUGCCCUCGACUUGACGCCAUCAAGCGGUCGGUCUGCAUAGAAGGUGCGCGAAUGGCCUUCGCCCGCGCAAAGGUGCACUGGGGGAAGAUGGAUGCUGGGAAGCUGAUGACUGAAGGGCCACCAAAGGGGAAGGAGCACCGCAAGCCCGAAUUAUAUUAUGAAAGUUUCCUAAAAGGAUCCUACCUUGCAGCGGAGCUAUGCACCAAGGACAUUAUAUUUCCAUGAAUGUCAAUCAUGUUGUCCUUUGUAAUGUUUGAACAAGGUCAUUUAUUUAUUGCCUGUUAUAUAAAAGUUUACCCUCCUGCGCGGCCAUUUUAUAUGUUAAACCUGAGAGUUGGCCAGUCGUCGGCUUCUGCCCCCACGUAAGAAGUACGGGGGUGUUCGGGAUAAACCUGAGCACUCUUUAUCCCAGUUAUGGGUCCUUCAAAGGAGGUGCUCAGCACAACGAACCAGGCAAUCAGACUAUAGGGCUUUAUCACUCUCACUUAGCCAUAGGAGCUUUAGUAAGGUAGGCGCAGCCCCUGGUGUUCGGAAGACUGUACUAGGGGCUCUAUAAGCACCUGAUCGGGGGAAAAACCGAUCCAUCGCACGCUGCAUUGGUUAUGGCAUUAUGCGGGAGAAAUCCUUAAAGAUUUUGUGACCUCUCAAAUAGCUGACCAGCUCUCGCCGUAUCAUGAUAGUCAGUUUUCGGCUUUCUCUACUGAGGUGCUCGUCCGGAAGAACCGGGACACAAUCGCAGUAGUUCUCCCAGUGCUACCUCAGCCGAUAUAGCGGAACGUAAGGUACCAAAACAUGGGAGCCGGGCAAACCCAACUAUUGACCCAAGACAUGAUUCAGAGCUGAUGCAUAUAGUGCUAUAAGUUCGGGGUGCCGAACUUCCAUGAAGGUGUUCGGACUUUAUUGUCGUGUUAUGGGUGAAACGAAGCCCCUGGCAUAUUUUAAGGCAUAUCGCUGUGUACGGAUGCCACUUAAAAGAAUUUCAAUAAGAAAUAACAGCAGGUAAGCGUCAUAUAAAUCCACAUGUUGUAUUUGAAUAGUACGUCUAUGCGUAUGAGUACGGGUAAUGUGAUAAAAAAAGAAAUAUGAUUGCGGAACCUGCUGAGACCAGGGGGAAGAAGCUGAGUGUGGAUUCGUAAUAUAGCCGGAUGGUCAUUGCGGGGAAUGUCUAAGGAUUCCCUUGCGCGUUCAAGCUGCCUCCGCAUCGCCCGUCCUGGUCGGCGCAAAGGUGAACCUGCGAAGGAAAUGUAAGAAAUGUUUGCGUGCCGGGGAGCGGUUGAGCCGCUGAGUGCGGCCUGUCCUGGCCUUCGCCGGAGUGUUUAAUUGAGCUCUGGACGAGCCGGGCUAUCCUUCCAUGAAGUAGUUCGGAGUCCCUUGACGGUGUCCGGGAGCCUGGACGUCGACUCGAGGUUCGGCUGCAAGGCGCUGCUCGUUGCUUCUGCGGUUAGGGCAGUGGUGUACUUGUUGGUGCCGAGGGAAGGUUCGGCCUUGCCAUUAAUCGUGAUGACGCCGCGUGGACCGGGCAUCUUGAGCUUAUAGUAAUGUGGCACCGCGUUGAAUCGAGCGAACGCGGUUCGUCCGAGCAGUGCCUGAUAAUCACCGCGAAAGGGGACAAUUUCGAAGAUUAACUCUUCAGUACGGUAAUUUUCUGGUGAUCCGAAGACUACCUCAAGGGCGAUGGAGCCUGUACAGCUGGUUUCCACACCUGGUAUAAUGCCUCUGAAAGUGGCCUCAGUGGGUUUGAUCGCUGAAUGAUCGAUGCCCAUCUUGUGCACUGUGUCCUGGUAAAGCAGAUUUAGACUGCUGCCUCCGUCCAUAAGGACUCGUGUGAGGUGAAACCCGUCAAUUAUUGGGUCGAGGACUAGUGCGGCUGGAUUGCCCUGAUUGGCGUUAACCGGACGAUCCGUGCGGUUGAAGGUGACCGGCCCUAGUUUAUAUUGUGGGAUGACUAGUUCCGUUAAGUCGGCAUCCCUAAGGGUGCAUAUCCGGUCCGAGUUGGGAAUUUGAGUGGUGUUUACGAUAUUCACCGAUUGAAUAUGCGGGGGAAAUUUCUUUUUCCCUCCUGUGCUCGGUGACCUGGGCUCUUCGUCGCCAUCAUCGCUGUGAGACCCCCCUUCUCUGUUUUUGGCGCCUGCCCUGCCGGCUUGUUUGAAGACCCGGCAUUCUCUGUUGGUAUGGGUGGCUAGCGUUCCUCGGGUGCCAUGAAUUUGGCAUUGGCGAUCGAGUAUGCGGUCCAGACUGGAUGGACCCAAAUUGUUAUUUUUGAGUGGCCGUUUCCGCUGACCGGACUUUGAGCCCCUAAGCCCGGCAUUAACUGCUGUAUCUUCGGCGUUUUCACCAUAUUUGCGACGCUUGUGUUUGUUGCGUCGUGGUUUGCCGUUGCUAUCCCUGGCCUCUGAUGUGUCAGGCUUGCUUGCUGUAUUGUUGCUACGAGCCAACCAGCUAUCUUCGCCCGCGCAAAAGCAGGUCAUAAGUGUCGUGAGGGCUGCCAUGGAUUUUGGCUUCUCUUGGCCGAGGUGCCGGGCGAGCCAUUCGUCACGGAUGUUAUGCUUAAAUGCCGCUAGGGCCUCUGCAUCCGGACAGUCGACAAUUUGGUUCUUCUUAGUUAGGAACCGGGUCCAAAACUUCCUGGCCGAUUCCCCUGGCUGCUGAGUUAUAUGAAUUAAAUCGUCAGCGUCCGGCGGUCGCACAUAAGUACCCUGGAAAUUGUCCAGGAAUGCGUCUGCCAGGCUCUCCCAACUUCCGAUGGAGUUUGCCGGCAAGCUAUUGAGCCAAUGUCGAGCCGGCCCUUUGAGUUUUAGCGGGAGAUACUUGAUGGCAUGUAAAUCAUCCCCGCGAGCCAUGUGAAUGUGGAGGAAGAAGUCUUUUAUCCAUACCGCGGGGUCUGUAGUGCCAUCGUAUGAUUCAAUGUUUACGGGUUUAAACCCUUUUGGGAAUUCAUGAUACAUUACUUCAUUGGUGAAGCAUAGGGGGUGUGCGGCGCCUCUGUGCCAGGCUAUGUCACGACGCAGUUCAUACGAGUCUUGUCUGUUGUAUUCGGCCCGGCCGGAUUUGCUUUUAGUGUAUCCGGCGUGACGAUCAUCGUCACAUGUUGGGGCGCGACCCCGUGAUCCGUAGAUCGAUCUUGUAUGUCCUGCUUUGUUUUCCAAUUUGUUUCGCAGGUCCUACAUGUUGCCCCGGGCCUUGGUAUUUUUGUUUAAAUGGCGGCGGGGUGCGGGCUGGACUUCGGGCUGAUAUGCGUCUCUGUCUCGGCCACGAGGUGGCCGAUCAGCCGCAUCAUACGCUGGUGCUGUAGGUUUCAAUGCUUCCUCCUCGAGUUGGGGUAGCAACCUGCGCUUUGGGUAACUCUUGGUUGGGAGCUCGAGUUCGUAUUCCUCGGCCGCCAAGACUUCAGUCCAUCUAUCCGCUAGCAGAUCUUGAUCAGCUCGAAGCUGUUGUUGCUUUUUCUUCAGGCUGUUUGCUGUGGCUAUAAGCCGGCGCUUGAAGCACUCCUGCUCGACGGGAUCCUUAGGCACGAUAAAUUCUUCGUCGCCGAGGCUCACCUCGUCUUCGGAGAGAGGUAUAUAAUUGUCAUCCUCUGAUUCUCCGUUUGCUGCCUGUUCCGGAGGGCUAGCUUGUUCAUCCUCCCGCUCAAGGCCUGGCUGGAGGGGAUUGUCGUCGUCUUCGGCACUAUCCGGAGUGUUAUUGUCUCCUGUGCCGGUAUCGCUGCUUUUGCUAUGGCGGGACUUGGAGCGGCACUGCUGACGUCGGUGCUUGGAUAGCUUCUUGGAGGGAUUAUCCUCCGUUGUCUUAUCGCCAUCACCUUCUUUGGGGGUGUCCACCAUGUAUAUAUCAUAUGAUGAGGUGGCAGUCCAGUGCCCUGUGGGCGGUGGUUCUUGUUCGUCUCCUGCAUUGUCGCCCAUACCGUCGAUGUCUUCGGAGCCGAAGUCGAGCAUGUCGGUUAAAUCGUCGACAGUGGCUACUAAGUGGGUGGUGGGUGGGCUGCGAAUUUCUUCGUCGUCCGCAUCCCAUUCUAGCCGAACAUAGUUCGGCCAAGGGUCUCCUGACAAGGAGAGAGACCUCAAUGAGUUUAGCACGUUGCCUAGUGGUGAGUGCUGAAAGAUAUCCGCGGAGGAAAACACCAUGAUCGGUGCCCCAUCGGAUUCGAUAGGCACGGACGCAGGCGGUUCGGAGCCCGUGGCCGGGGACGAAUCCAACGGUUCGGCAACACGGGUCUCGUAGGAGGUGAAGUCAGUAUUCGGCUCUAUCGCCACUGAGUGUGCGGCCUCCGUGGCGGGGUCCAUCCACCCAUCCUCAGAUGGCAGAAUUUGUUCCGGAUUGAGGGCCGGAGUAGUUGCAGGUGUGAUCUCCCAAACACUGUCCGACGGCAGAGCUAAGUCAUGCUCGUCGUGAUUGUGCGGCGCACCUGACAUGGGCUCGAAUCCGUUGAAGAUCAAGUCUCCGCGGAUGUCGGUAGUAUAGUUCAAGUUUCCAAACCUGACCUGAUGGCCAGGGGCGUAGCUCUCGAUCUGCUCCAGAUGGCCAAGCGAGUUGGCCCGCAGUACGAAGCCGCCGAAUACGAAGAUCUGUCCGGGGAGGAAAACCUCACCCUGGAUCGCAUCGUUGCCGAUGAUCGAAGGAGCCAUCUAGCCUUACGAUGAAGGCACAGUGGAACUCUCAAUGAAAGCACCAAUGUCGGUGUCAAAACCGGCGGAUCUCGGGUAGGGGGUCCCGAACUGUGCGUCUAAGGCAGAUGGUAACAGGAGGCGGGGGACACGAUGUUUACCCAGGUUCCGGCCCUCUCGAUGGAGGUAAUACCCUACUUCCUGCUUGAUUGAUCUUGAUGAUAUGAGUAUUACAAGAGUUGAUCUACCACGAGAUCGUAGAGGCUAAACCCUAGAAGCUAGCCUAUGGUAUGAUUGUUGUUGUCCUACGGACUAAACCCUCCGGUUUAUAUAGACACCGGAGGGGGCUAGGGUUACACAGAGUCGGUUACAAGGGAGAAGAUCUACAUAUCCGUAUUGCCAAGCUUGCUUUCCACGCCAAGGAGAGUCCCAUCCGGACACAGGUCAAAGUCUUCAAUCUUGUAUCUUCAUAGCCCAACAGUCCGGCCAAAGGAUAUAGUCCGGCUGUCCGAGGACCCCCUAAUCCAAGACUCCCUCAAGGGGGAGAGAGCCCCCCUUCUUCUUCUUCUUCCUUGACCUUCCCCCUAGAUGGGAGAAGGGUUUCCCCUCCGGUCCUUGGCUUCCAUGGCGGCAGAGGGGUGGGAGCCCCUCCGAGAUUGAAUCUCUCUCUGUUUCCUUCUAAUUCUGCACUCCCUGAUUCUGCCCUUUCACCGUUUCUUAAAUUUCCGGAGAUCCGUAACUCCGAUUGGGCUGAAAUUUGGACACGAUUUUUAUCCGCAUAUUGGCUUUCUUUCGGUGAAAGAAGGGCACCAACCGCCUUACGGAGUGGCCACGAGGGCCCAGGGCGCGCCCUACCCCCUGGGGGCGCCCCUCACCCUCGUGGGCCCCUCGGGCAUCGUCUCGCGUUGAUUCCACUUCCCAAAAUUCACAUAUAUUCUAAAAAAAUCUCUGUCAGUUUUUAUCCCGUUUGGACUCCGUUUGAUAUGGAUUUUCUGCGAUACAAAAAACAUGCAACAAACAGGAACUGGCACUGGGCACUGGAUCAAUAUGUUAGUUCCCAAAAAUAGUAUAAAAAGUUGCCAAAAGUAUAUAAAAGUUGUAGAAUAUUGGCAUGGAACAAUAAAAAAUUAUAGACAUGACGGAGACGUAUCAUACUACAUCUCACACGGUUGGUGAUAAUAAACUGUGUGGGAUCUACUUGAUUUGAUUACAUAAUGGGGUCACAGCGGCAAUGGACGCUCUUUGAAUUGCUAGACCUUUAAUCUGCAGUGAACAUGCAACUAUAUAUGUGUCGUAAAAGAAUUGGAAUUAUUCAGGGUUCGUUUGGACAUUUUAUACAUUAAACUGGUUUUCUAGCCAUUUCAGGUGCACAAUUCAAAAUUAAACUACAUGCACAUGCUCCGGUGCAUAUAAAUUGGUUGAAAAAUCAAAUUUGUGUCCUUCAGUGCAUGCUUAGGUCCCAUACAAGAAAUGGGAAUGAAUUUUUUGGGGUUUGUUUGGCCUUUUUUAUAAAUUAACUAGGUUUUCUAGGCAUUUUAUGUGCAUAAUUCAAAUUUGAACUACAAGCACAUGCUCCAGUGCACCAAAGUUGGUUGAAAAAUCACAUGUGUGUGUCCUUGGGUGCAUGCUUAGGUCCCAUGCAAGAGAUGGGAAUGAAUUUCAAACACCAGGGCACUGUUGAUUGCCGGCAAAACAUUGAGAUACCUGGUUUUUAAAUUCUAGUAAAUAAAAAACUUGUAUGAAAUUCAUGAAACUUGGCAUGCUAUCAUGGAGCGGCAUCAACAUGCCGUGGUGAAAAUUUUGUCCCAUUUGGGGCAGGUUUGGGUAUAAGCUUCUCACAACAAGCGUGAUGGCUUCGGUAGGGAACGUGCCACCUUUGGGGACGAAACGAUAUCCGUUGCCUCUUAUUGCUUUCAAAAAAAUUCUAGUGAACAUAGAACAACAGGAGUGUUGUGUUUAAUCUUGGAAUUUUUCGGGGUUCGUUUGGCCUUUUUUAUACAUUAACUGGGUUUUCUAGGCAUUUUAUGUGCAUAAUUCAAAUUUGAACUACAAGCACAUGCUCCGGUGCACUAAAGUUGGUUGAAAAAUCACAUGUGUGUCCUUGGGUGAAUUUAUAGGUCCCAUGCAAGAAAUGGGAAUGAAUUUCAAAUGCCAGGGCACCGUUGAUUUCCGGCAAAACGUUGAGAUGCCUAGUUUUUAAAUUCUAGUAAAUCCAAAACUCGUCUGAAAUUCAUGAAACUUGGCAUGCUAUCAUGGAGCGGCAUCGACAUGCCGUGGUAAAAAAAUUGUACCAUUUGGGGCAGGUUUGGGUAUAUGCUUCUCAUAGACCAGAGCUUCUCACAACAAGCAUGACGGUUUCGAUAGGGAACGUCCCACCUUUGGGGACGAAACGAUAUCCAUUGCCUCUUAUUGCUUUCAAUUUUUUUCUCGUGUCAACAUAGAACAACAGGAGUGUUCAGUCAAUUUUUGUGAUUUUUUGGGGUUCGUUUGGACAUUUUUAUGCAUUAACUGAGUUUUCAAUGCAUUUAUGUGCAUAAUUCAAAUUUGAACUACAUGCACAUGCUCCAGUGCAUAUAAAUUGGUUGAAAAAUUAAAUCUGUGUCCUUGGGUGCAUGCUUAGGUCCCAUGCAAGAAAUUGGAAUGAAAUUCAAACACCAGGGCACCGUUGAUUGCCGGCAAAACAUUGAGAUGCCUGGUUUCUAAAUUCCAGUAAAUCCAAAACUCGUCUGAAAUUCAUGAAACUUGGCAUGCUAUCAUGGAGCGGCAUCAACAUGCCGUGGUAAAAAAUUGUCCCAUUUGGGGCAGGUUUGGGUAUAUGCUUCUCACAGACCAGAGCUUCUCACAACAAGCAUGAUGGUUUCGAUAGGGAACGUCCCACCUUUGGGGACGAAACGAUAUCCAUUGCCUCUUAUUGCUUUCAAAAUUUUUUCUCGUGUCAACAUUGAACAACGGGAGUGUUGUGUCAAUUUUUGUGAUUUUUCGGGGUUCCUUUGGACAUUUUUAUGUAUUAACUGAGUUUUCAAUGCAUUUAUGUGCAUAAUUCAAAUUUGAACUACAUGCACAUGCUCCAGUGCAUAUAAAUUGGUUGAAAAAUCAAAUUUGUGUCCUUGGGUGCAUGCUUAGGUCCUAUGCAAGAAAUGGGAAUGAAUUUCAAACACCAGGGCACCGUUGAUUGCCGGCAAAACGUUGAGAUACUUUGUUUUUAAAUUCUAGUAAAUCUAAAACUUGUCUGAAAUUCAUGAAACUUGGCAUGCUAUCAUGGAAUGGCACCCGACAUGUUGUGGUAUUUUUCGUGUCCAUUUUGAGAGAAGGCGCACUCGAAUAACAGCCAACAAAGGCAUUUUGAAAAAAUAGCUGCCACUUUAAUAUCUCAAACGGUUGUAUAAUUCAAAUCGUGUGUGUUCUGUUAACCAUUCACGUGACGCCACGUGUCUUCGUUUUAACGGCUAUAGGAGGUGCCAUGCGGACAACUGCUUGACCUUGACUGAAGGGGAGGCGUGCGAGCGGAGUUCGGUGCGCAGGCUGACCGAGAGGCGUGCAAGCUGUCCUCCAAUGCGCAGGCUCACCGGGAAGCGUGCGAGCUGUACGCUGCGCAGGAUCACUGGGAAGCGAGCCCUUUGACUUUCAUGGCCGCCCGCCUUCCUCUCCAUUAAUGGCGCCCGAGCCGCUGUUUAAUACGGGCGGCCUUACUGUUCGCCUCCCAUUCCCCUCCCUCCCGCAGACCUCCACCAACGCCAUGGCGCAGAAUGAUCAUCUGCCACUAGUCAUCAAGUUUGGUGAAGUCGACUCCAAGCCGGAGGAGAUAGAAAAUAAAGAGGAAUGGGGCCUCAUGGACAUGGCCCAGAACGAGCUGGCCGCAGCAGUUGCUACCCCCGCUCCCGUCCCAGCUCCCAUCCCCGCGCCCGCGCCAGCGACCAUCCGCGUAGCAUUGACGGGCUGGUCGCCGAGCACUAUCGCAGAGCUCGAAGCCGCGGCGUCAGCGAGGUCUCCGCAGACCCGCGCGAGCUCGUGUACAUGCCAGCGCCAGUGCCCGUGCCCGUGCGCGCCCCUCCACCCACCGUGGCGCCGGCCCCCGUGCGUUUGGCUGCACCCGCCGCGCCCGUGCCCCUACCCGUGCGUGCCCCUCCACCCACCACGGUGCCGGUCCCCGUGCGUUUGGCUGCACCCGCCGCGCCCGUGCCCGCGCCCCCCUCAGUGGCAUGGGACGCUGUCGUCGACUGCUACCUCUCAGCGGCGCCAGUUGACGUCCUCCCACGCCACGCCCGUCGAUCGCGCGAUGACAUGAUGUUUUAUUUACAAGUGAAGAACAUUUUGUGCUGCCUUGAAGACUUUAACAAAGGCGUCCCAGAGGACGACAACGACGGCGCGGCACGCCGCAGCCGGAAAUAGUUCUUUUGGGGGUUUAAUACUAUAUCUCGAAUUCUCGAUCAUAUGAAUAUACAUUCGCAGUGUGACUGAAUGAAAGAUAUGGUUUGAACGAACUUGCAUUUUUCUCUCUUAAUGUACAGACUUAUCAAACGAUUUUCUUUUGAAAAAAACGCCAAUGGUUUUUAAAUAUAAAACACUCUCGCAAACGUUUUAGUUAGAACACCUGUACGUAAACCGACAGCUUCCCCGGGAAGCCAAGGGAAAAUGUGCCAAGCAGGAUUUCUGCAUCCCUUCAACGCAAACGGUUGUUUUGCAUGACCCGUGUGCAACCAUGUAGAAACAAUUGGUAAGAUUUGCAUCUGUCAUUUUGGGUAUGUUGCCAUUUGUCAAACUGGAAAGAUUGACAUUUGUUUACCUAGUAACAUUGCCAUUUGUCAACCUUGUAACACUGCGAUUUGUCAAAAUAUGCAGCUAAAAAUCACUAGCACUAUCUAAUUUUUGCAACUAAAAUCACUAGCAUUGUUCAUAUGGACACCACUAGCAGGCGUGAGUUGAUGGACGCAUAUGCAAAUGUACCAUUGAUUACAUACAACAAGUCAUCAACCCACAAUGACAACGAGGAUACACGUUGGAUUAUAGAUCAUUUCCAACAAAACAUUCUAGUAAAGUAAAGUUUUUCUCACACAACAAAUAACAAAGCGAUGAAAUGAAUUUCAGCUCAACCACUCGUCGGUGUUGGAUACGGUUGCUUUGAACCAGAAGUGAUUCUCUGGGAAGGGCCAGCUACUGUCAAUCUCGAGACCGACGCAGGACUGAUCAUCCAGGCUGAAGCGGCCUAUGUCAGGACCCAUAUUGGGACGGUAGGGAAGCAUAGCAAUGUCCGAGGUAUAUAUACAGUUGCUUCUCAUAAAUGGUAGUAAUGUUGUGUCAACAGCAGCUGGAUCGCCUUCCACCAUCAUUGGAUAGUUUUGUCCAAGGAAGAGCGAGUUUCCUCCAAGACUUUCAAUACUGAACCAGGCAGAAGGUGUUGGUGCUAGUACACUAGUAUCCGUCCCGAAUACCCUGCAACGGAUGUUGGAAUAGGUCCGGAGAGUGCGACCAUGCGAGACAAUACCUGCUUCCUUAGUAACAUCAGCAAUGUCCUGUAUACAGACAAGAAGAGGUGAUCCAUCGGAAUAAGUUGCCAGGCGCCACUGAGUAUAUGGGUCCUCAUGCUCGUGAUCAUCAGCAUCGUCAUCUCCCCCUUGGUUAUAAAUUUUUUCAAGUAUAGGUGGUGGAAUGUUCACAGGACCUUGGAAACACAAGAAGGUUAAUUAGUAAAGGGAAACUAGCUAACCCGCAUGCAUGUGGAUGAAACAAUUAUAAUUACGGUGGAAGACAAACGUACCAAAAGCAUCAGGAUUCCAUGCAAAAACAGUGCCACGAGUGGUGGCAGCAAACACAAGACCCUCGUAUUGAAUUGCAUCACAGUACUCAUCAGUGUACAGAAAUUGAUUUUUGAGCAAUAUCCAUCGAGGCGUGGAAGUAAGGAAGGUAACAAGCUUGUCGAAGAUAGCAACAACUUCAUAGUUCGUGUAAUCCCAAGAGCGGUUGGGAACUCGACAUAUUGCUAUCUUCCGUAGACGACAGUCACCAUGAUCAUAUUUGAACUCACGUAGAAUACCGGUGUACUCAACCUCUGGGCAGUCUGAGAUUUUUGGAAGUGGAACCCAGUGACGAGUGUACACAUUCACAAGUUCCCACUCGCAGUUGUACCCAAUAUAAACAACCCAAUCUCCAUUUGCGCCUGCCCAAGCCUUUCCCUCAAGCGAUGGCAUCUUAACAUCAUACGUAUCAUUAUCAAGCGGCAUCAACUUGCACAAGGCGAGGCUUCCCUCGUCCCCGCGCCAGUCAGCAGGGUCACGGCGAAGAAGAUAUGGGAGAUCAAACCGCUCUUGGACCCUUGGGUUCCUUAUAAUGAUGUUAUUAGUUGAGUCGAGAAUGGUCUUGAACGAACCUGUCAUGCUAGCCAAGGUGAUGACGUCGCACCGAUCCAUGAGUUCCUCCACCAUGUCAUCUUUCUGAUCGGGGCAAGAAUAGCGGGGUCAUUUCCGGCCUGUUCCCUCCAUGGAGAAGAUGAUCGAACAAUGGUAGAAGGAAGGGUGAAGGCAAAUGGAGGGAGGAAGAGCGUGCGACAGCAGUUCCAAAUCGAGAGGGAAAGGCGAAGAGGCGAUGGAUGGUUGCCACGGUAUAAGAAGAGGCUAGUGGGGAGCGAAUGGUUGCCACAGAGGUCACACACUGACGACAAGGCCGAGUGAACCGCAUGCCGUAUAUCGCACACACCUUGAUCUGGCUGACUGUUUCUUUUGUGUUGCCUAAUCACAAACAGUUCAUUUGAGUGAGCCGUAUGUUGUACAUCGCACACAUCUUAAUCUGGCUGACCAUUUCUAUUCUCUUGUCUCAACGCAAACAGUUCAUCCGAGUGAACCACAUGCCGUAUAUCGCACACACCUUGAUCUGGCUGACCGUUUCUUUUGUGUUGCCUAAUCAUAAACAAUUCAUCCGAGUGAACCGUAUGUUGUAUAUCGCACACACCUCCAUCUGGCUGCCCGUUUCUUUUGUUCCUCCUCAUCACAAACAGUUAAUUGAAUUGAACCGUAUGCCCUGCAUCGCACACGCAACUAAAAUUCGAACCGUGUUUGAUGCAUCCGUCAUCGCAAAUGUUUUGCACCUUUUUUGGCGGUCUUUUUACACCACCGUUUGCGAUUAUUGCAUCGCACACAGUUUCGUCGAAGGGUCUCUGAUCGUUGUGUCGCGUUAGCAGCAUCCUGCAAUAGUGAUAUCUUACAAUUAGUGGGGCAAUGCAAAUAUGUCAUUUAUAGACAAAAAUAUACUGUUUUCAUCUUCAUGACUACACAAAUACAAACACAAUCUAUGAAAAAAUAAAUCUAAAUUAUAUAAUCAAUGCAUCAUGACUAAUUUGCAGUACCGGUACCUCGGGAUAAAAGAAGAAAUCACUGACCUAACUAAUUCAUCUAAAUCAUGAAAUUGAUGCUGCGUGAUGCAGACUAGUAACACGUGUAUAUGAUAUAAAUCAACGAAGGAGAGACUAGUCGUAGUAUUUUCUUGAGCAUCGCCGCAGUCACCGGACGCGGACAGAACCUGAAUGCUUCAGCCAUCACCAUCGCCGUCGGUCAGGAUCGGUUAUGCCAUGCCGUCUACGCCCAGCCCUUCUCCUAUAACUACCCUGAGACAUGCACGCAAGGAGGGUCGUGCGCCGCGUCGGCAUUUUUUUGCGAGAAUCAUAUAGCUUUAUACAAUCAUUUUUAGCUCCAGCACGAUCAGCCAACAGGCUUGUCACGAGGAAACCGGGAGGGGAGUUCAUCCAGCAAUCAACCACACCCGGUGAGCUUCCAUGCUUCACACACAGGUGAGCUGAAUUGUUGGCUUGUCUCAUUACAUGUUGAACAUCAAAACUAAGAAAAGUUGAGGAUAGCCCUUUAAUUUCGAGAAGAAUAGGCGCUAUUACAGAGCGCGAGAAAUGUCGAUGGUACUCUGCAGUGAGGGUUGAGUGGUGUGGGUUCGCGGCCCUUGAGACUCGACCGGGACAGCAGAGGCUCGAUGCGGUAGUAGCGGCGAGGCGUGCGGUAUGUUCGGAACAUGGAGAUGGGCCAGGGCUCUAGCGGCCAUACAUGUGAUGAGACAACUGCGAAUUUGACUCAUGUGACUACUAGCAAUGGUGAAAUUCCUUCAAGUUUCAGACAGACGGUCAAGGAAGAGCGAUGAUGUUGAGUUCAGGUAACGCUUAUGUAUGACACCCAAUAUGUGAGAUGUUCACUUUCACGCAGGUCAGUGAUCAUUGUGUGAUGGCGUUGGACUGAUACUCUGGAAGUUGGGAGCGCAAACUAGAGUAAUGUAACUUAAUUUCGCUCGAUCUUGACAAUGGUUGAGAAAAGGAGGGACUACAAGUUGCAGUUGGAGUCACAUGGAGUCUUUGGAGUAGCAGCGAUACUCAUGGGAUAAGCUCAAGUCCAAUGUACAUGGAAGUUUGACGCAUGGACGAACUCAAGGUGGUGGAGAAUAUGCGCCAAGGUAGGUUACAGUUGGACUCUGAGUUGUAUUGUGUUUACAGGGUAUGGAGUUGUGUCCUAGUAGGACACUUGUAUUCCAGCCCUCUCAUAUAUAGUGGGGAUAGACACACGAUAUAACAUAUGCCAACAUAAUAGCACAAGAACGCAGAGAAAGCCGGCGACAUGUGCCAGCGUCCAGGGCGACCGGGUGCGGUAUUGUAGCGGUAUCAUGGGAAGGAGCGCCCACAGUCAGGCCCCAAAAAUGUAGCCAUAUCGGUGAACCUCGUUAACAAAUUUCGGUGUCGUGCUCCUGUGAUUGCUUGGUUCUCAAUAGAUCGACGAUAACCUUGAAUUUAUUCUAACACCCCGCUGGCCCUCUGGCUCUGCCACUGCAGCCAUGUGCUAGCUAGCUUGUGAGGGCUCCCGCAGCCGCUUGUGCUAGCUAGCCAGCCGGUGGCCGUGUGCUAGCUAGCCAGCUGGCACGCCGGAGCGUUGUAGCUCGUGCGCCCGGGCGCCUCACCGCUCGCGCGUUUGGAGCGGUGGAGCUCGCGCGUCUCGCCCGCCAUUGCAGCUCGCGUGCCCGGCCGCGCCGUGCUCGUCGCGUCUAGCCGCCAUGCUUGCCGCGCUCGCCGUGCCGCCCACGCCAUAUAUACCGCGUCAAGCCGCGCUCGCCCUGCCUCGUGUCGCGCCCCCACCGUGCAGUUUUUGAUCGCGCAUUGGAGCUCGCCGCGCCUAGCCGCCAUGCUUGCCGCGCUCGCCGUACCGCCCCCAUUGUGCCAUGCCGAGCCGUGCUCGCCCUGCCUCGUCUAGCGCCCCCGUCGUGCCGUGUCGAGCCGCGCACUCCCUGUUGUUGGCACAGACCCCUGUACGUCGCUCGUAGACGAGUUCUUUCUGUCGAGAGCACUUCCGUUUGUCGAGCCGGUCGAGUACUUUCCGGCCGUACGCAAACUGUACGUACAGAACUAGCCUAAGCUAGCAAGCAGCCAAGCAAGGAGCUUGAUCGAUCUUUGGAGACUAGCUAUACACGUGAACAGGAUACGGCGACUUGAUUGCAAAACCAGGAACGUGUCGGCCCUGUUGUAUAUUGCUUUUUCAAUCUGAUGAUUACAGGGGGACUAGGUACAGGUAUAAAUAGUAUCUAUCCUACCUAGCAUCUAGCCGACUCGGCAAAAGACUACAAGUCCGUCCCGGACUAGUUUUCUCCUAAUCGUGAUUAUCUCUAACAAUCACCCCCCUAAGCACGAUGUCCUCACUUCACAGCUUGGACGCCAAUCCUUCCCCGCAUCUCCGUGAACUUCUGCCGCCCCAAAGACUUGGUCAGGAUAUCUGCAAGCUGGUCGUCGGUGCAAACAUAGUUGACUUCAAUCUUGCUUUCUUCCACACACUCCCGUAUGUAAUGAUACCGUAUGUCGAUGUGCUUCGUCCUAUCAUGAUGCACUGGAUUCUUACAUAGGGCAAUCGCAGACUUGUUAUCAACAUUGAGCACCACACUCUCUGCUUCCUUAUCUGUGAGGUCACCGAGUAGCCUUCCUAGCCACACCCCUUGACCCGCCGCGGUCGCAGCUGCAAUAUACUCCGCUUCGCAUGAUGAUAAUGCAACCACCUUUUGCUUUUGUGAUAGCCAAGUCACUAUGCUCCCGCCCAAGAAAUAUGCCACUCCCGAGGUACUUUUACGGUCGUCCACAUCUCCUGCCAGGUCGCUAUCACUAUAGCCAAGUAGCUCCACCAUCUCCUUCUUCUCUCUCAAAUAGACACAACCGAAGUUUGUUGUCCCUUUGAUGUACCUGAGUAUAUGUUUGACAGCUGCCCAAUGUUCAGUCGUGGGCGCUUCCAUGAAGCGACUCACUAUGCCAACGGAAUAGGCCAAGUCCGGUCGUGUAUUCACAAGAUACCUUAGGCUUCCGACCACACUUCUAUACUCCGUUGCAUCAACCGCAGAGGCUUCACUCCUUUUGCUAAGUUUCAGUCGAGGCUCCAUUGGAACAAAACUUGGGUUGCAAUCCUCCAUGCUACAGCUUUCAAGUAUCUUCUUUGCAUAUGCCUCCUGGCGUAGUGUGAUCCCCUCCGGCUUUUGAUGUACCUCGAUCCCGAGGUAGUAAGUCAAGAGCCCUAGAUCACUCAUCUUGAAUAGCUCCUUCAUCUGUAGCUUGAAUCGCGCAAUCUCCUCUUCGUCUGCUCCAGUUAUCAAGAGAUCAUCAACAUAGAUGCCCACUAAGAGACGAUCCUUGCCUUUACCUCGCUUGUACAUAGCAUGCUCGAGUGGACUUUUCUCAAAACCAAGAGAAAUCAAUGUACGGUCAAGCUUGAUGUUCCAUGCCCGAGGAGCUUGAUGUAGCCCGUACAAUGCCUUGUGUAGCUUCAACACCUUGUGUUCCUCUCCUUCCUUGAUGUACCCCGGUGGUUGCUUCACGUAAACUUCUUCUUUCAACUCCCCGUUCAAAAAUGCAGAUUUUACAUCCAUGUGAUGUAGCUUCCAAGAUUCUUGAGCCGCGAGAGCUAUAACUAGCCUCACCGAUUCCAUCCUUGUGACUGGAGCGAACACUUCCUCAAAGUCCACACCUUGCUCUUGCACGAAUCCUUUAGCUACGAGCCGAGCUUUAUGCUUCAGCAAGUUCCCUUCGGCAUCCUUCUUGACUUUGUACACCCACUUGAGCCCUAUGGUUUUAUGGCCGUUGGGAAGAUCCGCGAGCUCCCAUACUUUGUUGUCUCGUAUCGAUCCCAACUCUUCAUCCAUAGCACGACGCCAGUACUCCUCUUUGUUUGCAUCUUCAAAUUUCGUCGGUUCCUCGACACUUAGCAAACAUUGUCGUCCUUUUCUUUUAAUUUUCACCGGAUUUACCUUCUGAAGCGCUUUCUUCGGAUAUAAAUCUAACACUGAUCGAAGACGGACUGGCGUAGGCGGAUGUUCCCUCCUCUCCUGUUCUGUCGAAGACGAAGAAAAUUCAUCUGAAGUUGCCAAGCUUCUAUUUUCUGGCGAUUGGGGCUCUCCUGAGCUAUCUGCACAUGCACCAGAAGAACCAGCCACGAAAUCUGAAGUUGCUUCACGUGCAUGCACUUCUGGACCUCCUGUCACGUGGCCUUGUGGAGAUUGGGUAGCGGCUGGGCUUUCUGGCUCGUGGGAAGAACUCCCUGGUGGAGAGCCUGGUGCUGGGCCGCUGCUGCCUCCAGCGCACCUGGCUGGGCUGCCGGGUGCAGGAUACGUGGCUCUCUCUCCACUGCUGCUGCUGCCUGUAGCGCCGCUCGCAGCGUCUCUUCCUGGGACGCCACCAGAUACAGGUGAACUCCCUGACGCGUCUCGCCGCGCGUCGUCGUCUCGAGCAUCGCUCCGUGCCGCCGAAGUGUCCGGUUGAUCAAUAUUAUCUGCACGCUCAGAAUCGUUGUAAAAAACGUGAAAGAUUUCAUCAGAGAUCGGGUAUACCGGCUCGGUGGAGUUCCAAUUCCAUGACCUUGCUUCUUCAAAGACCACGUCACGCGUUACAACCACCUUAUUGUUAGAGGGGUUGCAUGCACGAUAUGCCUUCGUGCCCGCUUCAUAGCCAACCAACAUCAUUGGAGUACUCCGGUCCGCCAACUUGCUAGUAUGCCCGGCCACCGUCUUCACAUGCGCGAUGCACCCAAAAGUGCGAAGAUGAUCAACCGCGGGCUUGUGCCCGUACCAUGCUUCAUACGGCGUCAUCCCAACCACACUCUUGGUUGGAGCCCGAUUCAGCAAAUAAACGGCCGUGUUGACCGCCUCACCCCAAAACUUGCCCGGCAUCCCUUUGCUCUUCAUCAUGCUUCGUGCCAUCGCCACCACGGUUUGAUUCCUCCGUUCCACAACACCGUUUUGCUGCGGUGAAUAUGGCGCCGUAAGAUACCGCUUGAUCCCAUGUGNNNNNNNNNNNNNNNNNNNNNNNNNNNNNNNNNNNNNNNNNNNNNNNNNNNNNNNNNNNNNNNNNNNNNNNNNNNNNNNNNNNNNNNNNNNNNNNNNNNNNNNNNNNNNNNNNNNNNNNNNNNNNNNNNNNNNNNNNNNNNNNNNNNNNNNNNNNNNNNNNNNNNNNNNNNNNNNNNNNNNNNNNNNNNNNNNNNNNNNNNNNNNNNNNNNNNNNNNNNNNNNNNNNNNNNNNNNNNNNNNNNNNNNNNNNNNNNNNNNNNNNNNNNNNNNNNNNNNNNNNNNNNNNNNNNNNNNNNNNNNNNNNNNNNNNNCUUCGGCCGCCAUCUUUACUUUCCUGAAGGCUUGCAAAGCUUGAUCUUUCGUCUUCAACAACACAAUCCACAUGUAUCUGCUGAAGUCGUCGACGAUGAGCAAGAAGUAUUUGUUCCCAGCUGGGGUAGCCGGAGUAAUAGGGCCGCACAAAUCUCCAUGGACCAACUCAAGAGCCUUACUUGCUCUAAAGUUUCCCUCUCUAGGGAACGAGGCCCGCCUUUGUUUCCCAACAAGGCAACCGUCGCACACUUGCUCAACAUGAUCGAUGCAAAGUAGACCACGUACCAUCUCCUUUUGUCCAAGUUGCCGAAGAGCUUGAAAAUUUAGAUGACCGUAGCGCGCGUGCCACUUCCAUGCCGAGUCUUCCAUGCUUGACAAGAGACAUACUGGAUCCACACGAUCCAAGUUGAGGAUGUAGAGUCUGUUCGGCGACCUCUGCACUUUCAUGAUCAACAUCCUUUGACGGUCAUACCCCCAAAGAUAGCCAUCUUCGAGCACAAUCUUGCAACCACGCUCCUCAAGCUGGCCGAGACUUAUGAUGUUGCUCUUUAGUUUGGGAAUAUAGUACACAUCUGUGAGUACCUUGUGACCGCCGUUCUUCAGCUCAAACAGGACAGUGCCUCGCCCUGUGAUGCCAACGGUUCGCCCGUCACCGAACCGAACCGUGCCUCCCACCGAGAGAUUUAGCUCAGAAAACUGGUCCUUGUCGCCGGUCAUGUGGUUGCUUGCUCCCAUGUCGAGGUACCACACGUGUCCCGCCGUGUUCGUCCUCUGCUUGUCAUGAAGAUAAACCUUCUCUUCGUUGAGCGUGAUAACCUCGGUAGCCGGCGCCUUUGGAGCUGGACCCACCUCGUCCAUAAGCUCGCAUACUUCGACCAUGAGCAUCAUGUCGCUAUCAUCGCCUCCCUUGGCCAUGAGAGCUCUUUCCUUCGGUGGAUUCUUGCAAUCAGACUUGAAGUGACCGAGGAUUCCACAAUUGUGACACUUUACUUUCUUUAUGUCAAAUUUUCUCCAUGGUUUUCUAGCCUUUUCUUCCUGUCCAGCGAAGUCCUUUCUCGCCGGGCGUUGCUUCUCCUUUGCUUUAUUGCCGCUCAAGGAUCCACCUUGCUUUUCUUUCAUCAGGGCCAUCCAUUGAGCCAUUGUAAUCAUGAGAUGCUCACUCUCCUUCGAAUCGCCGAAGCUGAAACGAAUUCUCUCGUCGUGGGCCUUGAACCUUCCGACGAGAUCCUCGACCUUGAGAGUCUUUAGGUCGAGACAUUGUUCAAUCGAUGUGACGAUCUGGAUGUAGCGUGCAGGCGCGGCGCGCAAAAAUCGUCGGACAAUCGCAACUUCUUCUAGGGUUGAACCAUAGCUGCGUAUGCCGUUGACGAGGGUCUUGAGACGGGCGGCAAACUGAUCAACCGUCUCACUUUCAUCCAUCUUCAGGCACUCGUAACUUCUCAUCAGGGACUGAAGGUGUGCUUCCUUGACACGGUCAUGACCCUGGUGCAGGAUCUUGAUGGUCUCCCAUGCCUCCUUCACCGAGUUCUUUCCGACGGGGUGUUGCAGCACAUCCUUCGGCAUGGCGGAGUAGAUCGUUGUUAACGCCUGACGAUCCUUCCGGUACUUCGACGCGCCCUUUGCGUACUCGGCGCCGCCCGGGUCGACCGCUUCCCAGAACUCAGCUCCCUCCAUCGCGACCUCCAUGUUCAUCGCCCAUAGUGCGUAGUCCUCUAGAUCCAGACGGGGGAAUUGUGAUCCCCCACCAUCGGCAUCGGUGCUCCCGCUGCCGUUGUCACGAUCUCCUUGCCCGUGGUCGACAUGAUCCUUCGAUUGCUUGCCGAGAAUCACGUCAAUACCAAAGCUCUAGAUACCAAUUGUUGGCACAGACCCCUGUACGUCGCACGUAGACGAGUUCUUUCCGUCGAGAGCACUUCCGUUUGUCGAGCCGGUCGAGUACUUUCCGGCCGUACGCAAACUGUACGUACAGAACUAGCCUAAGCUAGCAAGCAGCCAAGCAAGGAGCUUGAUCGAUCUUUGGAGACUAGCUAUACACGUGAACAGGAUACGGCGACUUGAUUGCAAAACCAGGAACGUGUCGGCCCUGUUGUAUAUUGAUGAUUACAGGGGGACUAGGUACAGGUAUAAAUAGUAUCUAUCCUACCUAGCAUCUAGCCGACUCGGCAAAAGACUACAAGUCCGUCCCGGACUAGUUUUCUCCUAAUCGUGAUUAUCUCUAACACCUGUCUCAUCUCUUUGCCAUGUUGUGCCGCCCCUCUAGCGCGUCUCUGUGUUGGAGCUCGCCGUGCCGAGCCGCGCUCACCCUGCCUCGCCUCGUGCCCGGCUGGUGCUGCUGGAGCAGGUGGUCGCGCCCGGCAGGCGCCCCUCGUACAUGCUCGCGUGGGUGCAGCUCGUUCCGGCCAUGGUCAACGUGCACCUGCGUCCCUGCCUGCUACGAUGUUCGACGAAAUGCCAGGACGGACAUGCACAAAAUGAAUCCGCUCCCGUUGGGCACAUCGGCCGACCUAAAUGAAAAGGCGGACACGGAUGAGCCGACGGGUGACCUAAACAGACAAAAAACGGACAAAAUCGAUGUCUGUUUGGGUCGGCCGGUUGGAGUUGCUAUAAGUUUUUGCGAAAUCACUAGUUGAGGAGUACUCGUUGCAAAGAUUACUCCAACUCCCCUGGUUGCGACAAGUGGCGCACAUGGCGCACAUGCAGCGCGCCACUUGUCGCAACCAGGGAGUUUUCCUUUUUUUAAGAUUCGUUUAUUCAAAACGUUUUAUUUCUCAAACCGUGCGUCCAAAUCUCAAACCGCUUUCACCAUUGGAUUCCUCGCGUCGAGAUCUUCAGAACUAGAUGUCAUGUUGAUAGGUUUUGGCGAACUUUUUUUUCACGAAAAAAACCGGACGAAAAAACCGAACCGAGAGCAUGGGUUUUUUUUCCUUUCCGAAAGAGGCACGCCCGUGCUCUCACGCAAUCACAACCGUGCCUCUCGCGAAAGCAAAACCGUGACUCUCGCGAAAAAAAGAGAAAACACGUUUUUUUCCGUUUCCGAGGAAGCACGGCCGUGAUUCUCACGAAAGCACAACCGUGCCUCUCACGGAAGCAAGACCGUGACUCUCGCGUAAGGAAAAAACAGAAAACGCGUUUUUUUGUUUCCGAGAGGCACGGCCGUGACUCUCACGAAAGCACAAAGGUGCCUCUCGCGGAAGCAAAACCGUGACUCUCGCGAAAGAANNNNNNNNNNNNNNNNNNNNNNNNNNNNNNNNNNNNNNNNNNNNNNNNNNNNNNNNNNNNNNNNNNNNNNNNNNNNNNNNNNNNNNNNNNNNNNNNNNNNNNNNNNNNNNNNNNNNNNNNNNNNNNNNNNNNNNNNNNNNNNNNNNNNNNNNNNNNNNNNNNNNNNNNNNNNNNNNNNNNNNNNNNNNNNNNNNNNNNNNNNNNNNNNNNNNNNNNNNNNNNNNNNNNNNNNNNNNNNNNNNNNNNNNNNNNNNNNNNNNNNNNNNNNNNNNNNNNNNNNNNNNNNNNNNNNNNNNNNNNNNNNNNNNNNNNNNNGCCGUGACUCUCGCGAAACACAAAGGUGCCUCUCGCGGAAGCAAAACCGUGACUCUCGCGAAAGAAAAAAAAACUGAAAACGCGUUUUUUUUCGUUUUCGAUAGGCACGGCCGUGACUCUCGCUAAAGUACAACCAUGCCUCUCGCGGAAGCAAAACCGUAACUCUCGCGAAAGAAAAAACAGAAAACGCGUUUUCUUUCGUUUCCGAGAGGCACGGCCGUGACUCUCGUGAAAGCAAAAAGCGUGACUCUCGUGACCCAAGAGGCACGGCCGUGACUCUCGCGAAAGCAAAACCGUGCCUCUCGCGGAAGCAAAACCGUGACUCUCCCGAAGGAAAAAAAAACACGUUUUUGCGCAAUUUUUUUUUGUCGAAAAGCUAAGGAAGACCGGUGAAAAACCAAAACGUAAAAAAAACUGUUUUAAAAGCCGAAAACGCGUGCGAGAAAAAAAUCCGAAGUAAGCGUCCAGAGCGCGACACGUGACGAAUGGCUGAGAGCGUGCCAAAUGGCGCUGAUUGUUGUGAGGCUGUCGAAGGAGUGCUCGUUAACUAGUUGCUUUCAAGUUUUUUGUUUUUGAGACAUUGGAGUUGCUAUUAGUGAAAAAGAAAAAAAAACUUGAAGGAUCCUCGAGCCCAUUCGGCCCCAUCCGGGCGACCUCGCCAAGCUGGUCUGAAAGCUACCUCAUCCAAGAGGCCGUUUCUGUAAAUUCUAGGGCUACUACUAUUUCCAAACGUGUGCGCUCAAUAUUCAAUCCUCGUCUCUGUCGUCUCCCUCACUCGCUGGCGGCGCUCCGUUUCCCCAAAUCUCACGCAAUCCCCUUCUCGCCGGCGGUUUCGGAUUACGCUUUAUACUCCGGUUGCCGGUCGUUGAUCCAGAACACAGAUAUACUCCCUAUAUAUAGUUUAGAAAACCUCUCGUCCCCGAUCCGAGCAAUUUCCAAUGUCGAUGCCGAAGGCUCUGUUUAAGCCCAACCGCAGUCGCGAUGCUCGCUACUCGAUUCGUCGUCGCGCCGGCGGAGGUAGCUUUCUCAUGGACAGGGCGAGGGGCAGUAGCACGAGCGGGGUGAGUCGAUUCCUGCGCCGGCGACGGCAGCUGCCGGCCCUCCGUGACGACCGGAUGAGCGACCUCUCCGACGAUCUGCUCCUCCUCGUCCUCCGCCGCCUCGACACCCGCACGGCGCUCGGCGCCGGGUUGAUCUCCAGACGCUGGGCGCACCUGCCCCGCCAGCUCCCCGCCUUGGACUUCAGGGUUAGCGACAUACUCCCGCCACGCUACCACCGAUGGGUCCUCCUCCACCGCGACAUCUACAGCAGACGCCAGCCCAUGAGCCUGGAGCUCGUGCCUAACAUCAAGAGGUACGAGCGCCGUGCCAUGCGCGCCCUGAACAGCUCCGUCCAGGGCUUCUUGGAAGGAGCUCGACCUCGCUGCGGCGUCAAGAGACUGAACCUCGAGUUCUUCGCCACCGGUAACGGCUACGGCUGCUGCAUCAAUCGGCUCAUCGCGGAGGCCAUUGAUGCUUGGGGCGUCGACGACCUCGAGGCCAUCGCCAAGCCACUGUACAAGCAACAAGACCUCGUCCACGCCUUUCCGAGCCAUGGCCUGUGCAAGGAGCCCCGUGCGUCACGCCUGCAAAGCCUCAAGCUUGGAGGCUGCGUGCUCCCGCCUCUGCACGAGUACAGUUCACUUACCAUGCUCGUCCUGCGAGACAUACCGGAAUCCACGCCCCCGGCCGCCUACGAGGGUGUCUUCACCUCGUGCCCAAAGCUUUACACCCUGCACCUCAUCUCCUGUGGCUGCAGCAGCGACUCAGGCAUACGCUUGCCGGUGGUGGUGAACGCCCCCAGUUCAGAGAUCAGGGAACUUGUUGUGGACAGCUGCACAUUUCGGUGGAUACGGCUAAGGGCUCUCCCCUGUCUCGAGAGCCUAGCCUCCCUGGGAACCAGCAGAGUGUUCUUCGAGUAUACAUCAUUCCCCUCCAUGAGGCAAUGCAACUUCGCACUGCGCAUAGGUGUCACAAUGGAAGGCGCGCGUCAAUACUUUGCGCAUCAGCUGAAGCUGGAGCUUGACACGUUUCUUCGAUGCACACCAAAUAUAAUGAAUCUCAUUGUCCGGUUCACUGGUCCUGACAGAUGGAUCGUGCCGUCUAGCCCUCCCUUGUCAUAUUUGCCUAACCUGAGGCGGCUGCUGGUCGCGGAUGUUCCAUCUUCCUGGGAUGCCACAUGGCCUUGUCUUUUUCUUGAGAUGACACCUUCCCUGGAGAGCCUUCACAUCAACAUUGCCUCCUGCAAGGAGAAGCCCGGUGAAGAAAUUUCCUGGCAGCCCAGCAAGCUUGGGCUGCAUAACUUGAGGGAGUUUGUGGUUGCUGGUUUCCAGGGAACUAAAAGGCAGAUUUGCCUAGUCAAUCUCGUCGUGGGAGCAUGCACAGCGUUGCGCCAUGUUGCCAUGUUCAAGAACGGUCAUGCAAGGGGCAAGGGACUCUGGGACUGGGAGAUGGUUACCCAGCAACAAUCAUGGACGGACGAGGAGAAGGACUACACGCUGAAGCAAAUCAUGGAUGGGGUUUCUUCCUCUGCUGUUCAACUAGUUUUUGGCUGAAUUUUCUCACAUUUCUUACAGGCCUCUCAUUUAGUGCUCCUUAUCCUUCUAUUUAUUCAAUGUAAGUUAUGAUCUAUGACACAAGUAGUGUGUCUCUUCGUGCUUUCCUUUCCUGUUCCAGGCAGUGUGUUUAUUUUCCAAUAAACCUGAAUAAUUUGUGGCAUUAAGUUUUCCAUGUCCACUGGUGUCUCUGUCUAGAAGUAAUGGAUUUGUUGUAGUCCAGGAAUGUUGGGGCGUCACAAUUUUUGAAAACUUCUGUGUCAAAUGCUGGAUCCACCAAGGGUUGGUUUUCCAGGUGAAUAAUGGCCUCCUAAGAGCACUUAUUUGGCAAGAUACGAUGGUUGUGCAACUUUUCAUUGAAAUCUAAACUUGUAUGCAUGAUACUGUGGUCAUUGAUAUCUACUGUGACGUUGUAUGGCACUUGUAUAUAAUGAUGGAUUUGGCCUCCAGAUAAUAUCAAGUUGUUAUUCCUAACAUGUAUGAUGGCUUCGGCUUCCAGAUAAUAUCAAGUUGCUAUUCUGACAUAUUUUUUUUUUGCGGGAAUAUUCCUAACAUAUACGUCAAACCUAGCAACAAAUUCAUGAAUCUUGGUCGAAAAUCCUACCCUUUUCUGUUUGCGGAUAAAACCCGACGGUUUGAGCAGUGUGCUCCAGCCCUGCUUCUGGGACAAGCAAAGGAAAAUUGGCUCCCAACAGAUUAGGUUUGGUUCAAAUACCUCACACCCUGAAAUAGCAUUGAUCGAAUAGAAAAUCUAAAGGAUGAACGUCUUUUAUUCGAAACUAAAGGGAUAAUGGAUACAAAGGCAUUUUGAUUUCCUAUUGCAUAGAUGCCCUGGAGCUGUACAAAACACACCAGCCGAUUGGCUGAGUUCUAUUUGUUCACACCUUUCCAAUAAAAAAUAAAAAACUGUAGAUACCAGAUUAGCUGUUUCAUGUGAAAGAGAAUUAUUGCCUGUUCUCGAUGCUUAUACAAGGAUGGGAAUUGUUCAUUCUAGGGGCUAUUGGCAUCAUCAUUUUCUGUUCAGUUAAGACCAUAUAAAUAUAUAUGAACUAGCUGUAUUUCAUUAGACAAUAAUUUGUGUGCUUGUGCGUGAUUUUGCUUACAGUAUACGAGACAUCAAGAAGUGUAACAUAUUCUUUGAUGACUUGAUAGGUCAAGAUAUGGUUUCUUUGAUGCGAUAGGUCAAGAUGCCGGCCAUGAACUGAAAUCAAAGGCUGGACCUGGUUUCUUUGAUGGCUUGCAAUAGAAAAUCCGUCACGCCAUAAUAGUGUUGAUUUUAUUUAUUUAUACCAUCUCCUCGUAGUUAUGAUAGUACCACAUAUUAAGCUGUACCAUUCAAAUUUGUAUCUCCGUUUUUCUAGAGUUGAGGGUUAGUACUUGGAAAAACGUCAUUCAAUUCAUAACAUGUUUAACAACAAAUAGUUAUUCUUUUGCUGGGAUAAUACCGNNNNNNNNNNNNNNNNNNNNNNNNNNNNNNNNNNNNNNNNNNNNNNNNNNNNNNNNNNNNNNNNNNNNNNNNNNNNNNNNNNNNNNNNNNNNNNNNNNNNNNNNNNNNNNNNNNNNNNNNNNNNNNNNNNNNNNNNNNNNNNNNNNNNNNNNNNNNNNNNNNNNNNNNNNNNNNNNNNNNNNNNNNNNNNNNNNNNNNNNNNNNNNNNNNNNNNNNNACAAUUCAUAUCUUAUUUUUCUUUUGCCGGGAUAAUACCAAUCAUAUCAACCUUGGAAAAACAACAAAUAGUCAUGACAUAGUCUUGCAACAAAUUUAUAGAUACAAUCUAUCUCGGUGUUAGAUAUGAUUUAAUUAUCAAAGCAUCCUUUAGAAAAACAACUAAAAUCAUAAUUAAUCAUGAUAACCUGAUUUUAUGGCACUUUUCUAAGGUUGGGAGCAGCGGUAGCACCUUGACAGUUAUAAUUGUGAGAAUUUUCCGGGAGAUGGAUUAAUAUUUCCACAUCAUAUCAAGACAUGACAACUUAAAUUCACAACAUUACAUGUAUCUGAUAACCAGACAAAUGAACUACUCUGUAGAACAAGAAAGAGCAAUACUGGUACAUUUGGUGCAGGAAUCCCCUCUUCAAGAAGAGAACAACAGCGGGCUCUCCAACAUUCCAAGUUCGCAGCCCUCACAGAGUGCCUGGCCCACACAGGCUCGCAGCUAAUGACAUUCCAAGUUCAUUGUAUUGGUAGAUUGCUUAUUAGAUUGGUUGGAUGAUGCACCAGCUGGAACUAGAUAACAGAUUCACCAUGCAAUAGAUCUUGGUCAACUGUUCUGAUUCUGCCUGGCUGACAUGUUAGCCAUGUCUUCAGCAGUAACUGGCUUGUGCAUCUGCAUGAACAAGAAGCUCUAGUUAGGGCAAUCUGAUAGAAUUUCAAAAGGUCUUUCAGUAGAUACCUACUACAUGUUACCGUGCCUAACCAGCUGACUACAUGAAAGGAAUAUCGACCAAACAAAGAGACAUCAUGUUGAUCAACUGUAAGCUCAGCACAAGUACGUCCAGGAACAACACACUACAGAAUCAAUCACAAACAAUAAUGUUUAGUUUGUUAAGCAGUGUCCAUUGAACAGUCAUGAAGAGUAGAAUGAAAUGCAGAAUUACUAACAUGAUCAAACUCACUAAGCAAGGGUAGAACAUAACUUAUUCACCUUACCCUGACUAACAGGGUCAGUAGUCGUCUACCAAAUAUUUGGGGUGAGAAUUCCUUAUUUAACACUGGCCUAAAACUUUUUGCCCUAUUUGACACCGAAAUCUUUUUCUUCCUUAUCUAACACCAAUUCUAAAAUUUGUUCCCUUUGUAACACUUCCGUCCAUUUUGACUACUAACGGUGUUAAAGGGCACCUGAAAAGACGAUUUUACCCCUCAUGCAACUUGUGACAAAAUUCAAAUAGCAUUACCUGCUAAUAGGUCGUUGGCCAGUAACAAGCAGCUCUGGAGUCCAAAAAUAAAAACAGGUCACAAUUUACACUAUCCUACUACAAACCUUGUUCCUUAACUGAAGCAUAUAACAGACUAAUUCAAAGAGAGUUUUGAUAUAGAUUUUCACAGGGAAGUAAGAAGCAUCUUUAUAGAGAAAUAAUAAGCAUUUUCACAGAGAACUCAUAACCAUUUUCACAGAUAAAUAAAUGCAUGAAUAACCUGCAAUGUGAAUAAUAGUGCAUCAGCAUUAGAGUUAAACCAGAUCAAUAACAGAGUAACUGAAUAUUUUCAGAUCCAUAACAUUUUCAGAGAAAUAAAGCAUCACAUAACAGACUAAGCCCUUUCCUGAGAGGAGGAAGAGGAGGGCGCAGACUUGUCUUUGUGAGGGCUAGCACUGGUCGGUGAAGGUCCCGGCGUACGAAGCUGUCAGUGGCCGUAGCAACGGGGAAGGCAUGGAGCGGAUGGAGUCAGGGGAUCAGGGAUAUGUUCACCGGCGUCGGCAGGGACUUGAGCCCGCUGCAGCCGAGACACCGCCACCUGCCGAAGUCGCGCGCUGGCCCAACCCCUCCGCAGCCCCACCGUCGCCAUCGCUCACCAACGGCUGAUCCGCAGCAGCGCCGAGGUCGGACCCCCUCAGCAGAGCGCCGUUCCCAUCCGCAGCACUGCCGCCAUCCAUUACCCGGAGUCACCGCCGCCUAUAGGACUAGGAAGUUCGCCACCGCCGCCGCCGCUAGGGUUGGGAGAAAGGGAUGAGAGGCGCGGGUCGGGAGAGAAGAGAGAUGGCCGGUUCGGUCUAUUUUUUUUUUCCAUUUUCUCAUGCUUAUUAUUACGGGCAGGGGGCAAUUUCAUCCAGCUACAGAAAACUAACAUUACUCCAUGCAUCUUUUAACGGUGUAGGCUAACAGAACUAACGGAAGUGUUAGAAAGGAACAAAAUUUACACUUGGGUGUUAGAUAAGGAAGAAAAAAAAUUCAGUGUUAGAUAAGGAAACAACAUUUAAAAGAGUGUUAUAUAAGGAAUUUUCUCAUAUUUGAGGGAUGGAGGCUAAGAGGGUGUUUGUUUCCAGGGACUUAUUGGUUUAGGGACUUAAAAAAGUCCCUAUAAGUCCCAUCUAAACCAAACAGGAGGGACUUAUAGGGACUUAAAGUGGGCAUUUGGGACUUAUGAAAUAAGACUCUCCUUGAGAGUCUUAUAGGGACUUAUAGUUGUAAUAUGGUCUUUUAGUCCAUGUUAAGUCCCAGGAACCAAACAGGUAGGGACUUUUUAGGGACUUGGGACUUAUAAGUUGGGACUAAAAAAAGUCCUAGGACCUAUGAACCAAACAGGGCCUAAACAGCACAGAAGCAUGACAGCUCAUCUGCUAAAAAAUGUAUUAAACAAAUUCUGGCAAAAAAUAACACUCACUGCAUUCGCAAUGGUUAACAUAGUCAAACUCACCAAGCCAAAAUUUUGUCUAAUGUACCUUACCCUGACUAACAUGGUCAACAGUCAUCAACCAAAUAUUUUACUAUGUAUCUUACCCUGACUAACAUGGUCAACAGUCAUGUACUAAAUAUUUUAGGGAUGCAAGCCAAACAGUACAGAAGCUUAACAGUCAUCUGCUAAAAAAUAGAUAAAUCAGAUUCUGGAAAAGAAAAGAUAAAACACUCACUGCAUUCGCAAUGGCUAACCAAUGAAAGCACCGUGGGAGAGGAUCCUCCGCUGAUGGCAUGGUAUCAUGAUUCCAGUAAGUUAUGUUCUGGAAUUCUGCACGGGAUACAAAAUUGCUAGCCUCCUCAUCCAUGCCCUGAGCAUCCUUUUCUUCGUUCUUCUUCUUCUCCAAUACAGAACCUACAGGUAAGCUUCAGACCACCAAAUUCGAUUAACAUACAGUAAGAUGGUGCCAAACUCAGGCAUUGUACAGAAACAUGGAAGAGUAGAGUGUGACCAUGUUAGGAGCUAGGGUUCUGCCGGUUCUAGGGCGGAGAUUGUAGGGGAAAGAUGGAGGAAGACGAGGUCGAGGGCGCGGCGGCCGGAGGCUGGGCGCCGUCCUUGCGUGGUGGAGAAGAGGCGGCGGCGGCGCAAGAGGCGGCUAGGGUUAGGUCUCCCGGCUCCCUAAGGGAAGCCGAGCAAAUACUGAUUGCUUCUUGCUUGAUUAGAUUGAUACAUCUCCUCUUCUUAUAUAGAGAGGUUUAGUUGACUCCUAAGCAAACGACCCUAAUAACGAUAAGAUAAUUGGGCUAAGCCCCUAAUAACGAUAAGAUAACUUGGGCUAAGCCCCUAAUAUGCCGGUCAUAACACUUCUCCCCGCCUGCACAAACAGCUCGUCCUCGAGUUGUAAGGCGGGAAGCGCUUGCUGAACUCCUCGAGGUGAUCAACCAGCGUCAAACACCUCCGCGACAGCUGGGGCGGCCAGGUUGCCGAGCCCGGCGGCGACGGCGUCCUCCUCAAUGUAGUCUGCAGCCUCCAGGUAGAAGAGUCGGGGGCAGACGUGGCCGGGCAUGUAGGCCUCGUCGCGGUUGAAGCACAACCCUUGGCGGCGACGCUCGAGUAGCUCGGCCGAGGUGAGCCAGCGGAACGGGCGCGCCAUGGUCGCGGCAAGGGGUGCCGCGGAAGCCUGAGCAGGCCGACCCUGCGCAGGAACAUCCGGCCAGGGUGGCGGCCCAGCGGCCCGGGACGGUGAUGCCUGCUGGAUGGCCACCGCGCGGCGCUCGAACGCGCGGGCGUAGUACAUGGCCGUCUGGAGGUCCUGGGGUCCCUGCAGCUCGACGUCCACGCGGAUAUGAUCUGGCAGACCGCCGACGAAGAGUUCGGCCCGCUGGUGAGCCGUCACGCCGGACGCGUGGCACGCCAGGGCCUGAAAGCGGUCGGUGUAGUCCUGCACCGUAGAGGUGAAGGGAAGGCGGCCCAACUCCGCCAGCCGGCUCCCACGUAUCGGCAGUCCGAAUCGAAGGAGGCAGAACUCGCGAAAACGCUCCCAUGGGGGCAUGCCGCCCUCGUCCUGCUCGAGGGCGUAGUACCACGUCUGUGCGGCGCCGCGGAGGUGAUAAGAGGCGAGCCAGGUGCGGUCCGACGCGAGCGUCCGUUGCCCCCGGAAGAACUGCUCGCACUGGUUGAGCCAGUUGAGGGGGUCCUCGGCGCCGUCGUAGGUGGCGAAGGCGAGCUUGGCGAAGCGCGGCGGUGUCUGAGCAUGACCGCCGUGAGUGUACGGCUCGGCGGUACGGAGCAGCGAAGAGGAUGGCGUUAGUCCGGUGUGCACAGGUGGUCCGCAGGAAAGCGGUGGCCCGUCGAAGCCAGCGUGGAAACCCGCGGAGCCGAAGGGCCCGUCGUACGGCUAGGAGGGCGCCGGCUGGUCCGCGGCCAUGGUGUAGACUGGCGGCGGUGACGUCCCGGCCAACCAGGCCGGAAGCUGGGACAGCGAGGGCAGGAACCGCACGUGCUGAAUCGGCAUGCCCGCUGGCGCGGUUGUAGUCAGCUCGGUGUUGGGCGGCAGAGGCGCCGGCAGCUGCUGCUGCCUGGAAACGGCGGAGGCGGCGGGCGUGGCCAUCGCCGCGGCCGGCCAUUGUGGCCAGAUCGGGGCGGUGGAGGGGGAUGGCUGUAGCUGCAGCGAGGGCUGCAGUGGCCCGACCAGCGUCGCGAUGGCCUCGGGGUGCGGCGGCUGCCAGGGCGGUGGCAGCGAGGACCCGGGUGGCGUGGGUGACACGGCGAGGGCCGGCGCCGGCCACUGCGGCCAUUGGGGCGCGGCGGCGGGCGACGGUUGAAGCGGCCAGUGGUGGUGUAGAGGCCCGGUCAGCGCCGCGGGUGCCGAAUACCACGGAACCACGGCAGGGCAGCUGGCCCGGUCGCGGCGGCCGGCGGCAAGGGCGGCGGCGGCGGCCCGUAGGGGCCGGCUAGGUAUAGCUGUAUCCCCUGGACGGCGGUGACGAGAUCGUUGAGGACCCCGGUGAUCUCCGCCGGGGAGUAGACGGCAGCCGGUGGUGCGGUGGAGGGCGCCGUAAUCUGGGUGGUGGCGGCGCCGGAGGAUGCGACCAGCGGCGCGGACGGGGAGGGCAACGGCGUGGUGGAGAAGGCCAGCGGCGCAGUGGUGACGGUCGGCAGCGGAAGCGACGGGAUGGGCGGCGGUGAAGACAUGAUCGGAACUGAGCUACCUGAUACCAGGGUGUUAGGAGUUAGGGUUCUGCCGGUUCUAGGGCGGAGAUUGUAGGGGAAAGAUGGAGGAAGACGAGGUCGAGGGCGCGGCGGCUGGGCGCCGUCCUCGCGUGGUGGAGAAGAGGCGGCGGCGGCGCAAGAGGCGGCUAGGGUUAGGUCUCCCGGCUCCCUAAGGGAAGCCGAGCAAAUACUGAUUGCUUCUUGCUUGAUUAGAUUGAUACAUCUCUUCUUCUUAUAUAGAGAGGUUUACUUGACUCCUAAGCAAAAGACCCUAAUAACGAUAAGAUAAUUGGGCUAAGCCCCUAAUAACGAUAAGAUAACUUGGGCCACAGCCCACUGGGCUAAGCCCCUAAUAUGCCGGUCAUAACAGACCAACAUCAUAUCAUACCAUCACUAUAGUCCAGAUAUACAUUGUUAUAUAUGCAAACCUAGUAUCCCUAGACAAAUUUACAUUCUGCCAGGAGUAAGGCAUGUCAGAUUCUUGUUUCCAUGCAGGUUUGAUACAAGAUAGUAAAAUAGUAAAAGACCAUGUCACAAUUCAAUGGCCGUUUCUGUGGUAAGCUAAACCGAAUUUCACGUUCCUUGCGUAGGUUUUCAUUAUAAGCACUACCCUGUUGAAAUGAAUUACGCCUAUCUAAGUAAGUACACUUUGGCACAUUAUCAGGCCAUGAUUCAUCUUUAAAUAUUCAGAUCUCAAUGAAAAGCAGUAGCGCGCACAUUUCUCAUAUAUGGAUAGAAGGACAGCGUAAUUCCAAGAGAGAAGUUUGUUUUGCGCAGUUUUUCAAAUCUGUGCCAGAGCUUCCAAAUUUAAGUAUCGCCACCCUUUCCACCGAACAGAAUCAGAUCGCCGGAGCUCACCUCGGUAGCCAUCGGGGAGCGCGACGGUGGCGCCCUGCAGGUUCCUCCCCCGGAAGAAGGCCUCCUCCACCUUCACCCCGUCCACCUCCACACCUGCGCGCACGCACGCACGCACCCACCAAUUCGUCAACCAAACAGACAGAAGGUAGACGGAUGAACGGAGAGAGGAGGGGAAACGAGCGAACGGACCAGUGUCCCUCGGCUUGAAGUAGUCGGAGACGGCGGCGGCGCUGUUGUGCCUGAUGCCGCAGGGCAGGAGGUGCACCCGGCCGAGGUCGGUUGCCGCCGGGGAAAGGUCGAUGCCGGCGGCGGCGGGCGGGGUGGCUUGCUCCAUGGUUGGGUUUGGGGGUUUCAGAGCAGUCGCCACGUCCCGCGCUGGUGAACUGGUGGUCUCUUCGUUGGUUUGGGCGGCACCCUGGUGAGCAGAAUAAAGAUGGGCCCCGGUUCCAGAGGCCCACGGUUCAUGCAAGCCCGCGUCUAUCCUUUUUCUUCUUAUAAAAAACAGAGAAAGGCCACAGCCUCUUAGUCCAGAAGCCCAGAAGCUAUACACGCAGCAAGCUCUUCCCUAAAAGAAAAAAAGAAACCGCAGCCUCUCGAUGGCUACAUGCCGCACGCCUCUCGUUUGUACUGUUUGAUUCCCCGACUAGACAACUUCUCGUUUCGUCUCUCUGUUCGCCCAUCGCGGCGUCGCCCGAUCCCAUCGGCAAGCCGACGCCGGGCAGAUCGGCCGCGGGAAGCCGAAGCCGGCAAUUGCUGUUCAAAUUGAAGGCAGAUAUAAGUAAGGACAAGGUGAAGAGAACCAGAGCUAGUAUAAGUUAGGACACGGUGCCACCGUAGGAAGGGGUCGAUUCCCCCUGGUAUACUCGUGUUCAUCCUUUCUCCCGAGGCAAUCCAACCAAAAGGCAGGAGUAGGAUUUCAUACAGCAAGGUGGCCCGAACCUAGGUAAACUGUCGUGUCUUCGUUGAUCCUCCCUAGCUCGAGCACGCCGGAGCAUUGCCGUGAGUUUGUGAGUCGCGAGGCAAAGCGUAGCGGGUACAUCAAGCAUACCCCACAGUUCAAACCUUGUUGGGUCCCCGGAGCUCCGAUUCCAACAGCCGCCGUGACGACGAGGUCAGAGCAGAAAAGCCACAUUAGGGCCAGCACCGUCGCUGCCCCAGCCCCGAUUGGCAAACCAGCCACCAAAUCCGUCGUUGACCGCACCAUAGGAAGCCACCAGAGACAGAACCAAGGCAUAUUUAUUGGCCGCCGCCGCCAUCAUCAUUGAAAACGUACUAGCGGACGAGCACACACCUAGCCCUAACCUAUCUACACUACAUCGACAAGAUGGAGAGGCUCCUCUCCCCUCCCGUCGCCAGAGCGGACGGCGAAGGAUGAAGAAACCCCUCCUUUCGCUCAUGGAGAACGCUGGCAGACGGUUCGCCUCUGGUUCCGCCCCUGCAGGAGAGGGGAAAGCAGAACUGGCAAUGUUGUAAAUGGACUGGCCUUCUAAACAAUAGGUUUAGGGUUACAAUUAACCAGGAUCGAUGAGCAUAGGGUAUGGACUUUAGAGCAUCUCCAACAGGCACGCAAAAAAAGCGUUUACAGCGCCGUUUACGCGAGUUUUUGCGUGCGGCGGAGCGCUAGCUCCAGCGGCCGCUGCAAAAUAGAGUGCGCGUAAGCCGCUCCAGCAGACGCGCUAUAUUUGUUAUUUUUUAUACUACGACUCAGUACACAUAUAGGCAUAGAGAGAUUGAUAGAUAGUACAUAGAUAAAUUAAAACGAUAGAUAAACGAUACAUAGAUAGUGUAUAGAUAGUAGCCUCCUCCUACGAUAGAUAAAACGAUAGAUAGAAAACUACUCGUCGUCCUCCUCCGACUCGGACUCCACCUCGGUGAUGUCGUCCUCCGACGUCAUAAUGAAGGCGUCAAGGAACCGAUCAUCCUCGGAGUCCCAGGACGACGCUGCUCCUAGCUCGAUGUUGAACUGAGCGGCCGCCUUCCGCGUACGCCGGUCCUCGCGAUAGGCGGCUCGCUCCGCCCUCCUCUCCUCCCUCUCUGCCCUCUUUUCCGCGAAGAACUGCUGCUCGUUGAUGACGUCCUGCGGGAAGCGUUGGCGCCACAACGCCAUGGCUUCCUCGUCCAUCUCGUCGAGGCUGAGACGACGCUCCCGCCUCCGGUUCUCGCGACGACCCUUGUCGGUGAGAAGCCGCGGGGGAGGCGCCAGCUCCUGUGCCAUCUCCCGCGUCGACACCUCCGGGGAGUUCAUAUCCCGGCGAGACCGCGAGAGGCGCCACGCCGCCGCGUCGUACGUGCGGGCGGCCUCGUGGGCGUUCUCGAAGGUGCCGAGGUCGAGGCGCACGUCGCCGGACCGAAUCUCAACGGAGAAGGUGCCGGACGGACGCGCGCGGUAGCCCGAAGCUCCCCGGCGGCGCGGCGGCAUGGUGGCGCGGUGGUGGCACGUCGGCGGCGAGGCGAGAAAGCGGCAGAGGAAGUGACGAGAGAGCGGCAGAGGGCGCGUGGCGGGCGCUGCAUUUUAUCGGCGCGCCGGAAGCGGCACGCCAAAUCUAGCGCGCGACUGGCCGCUUUUUUUCGCGCGCACGAAACCGUUUCCCGCCUACGUUGGAGCACGUGAAACCGUCCCGCGCACGCUAAAAUCGCAUUUUACCACACACGCGUUUUUUGCAGCCAUUGUUGUAGAUGCUCUUAGAGAUUUAAAUGUCGGAGUUCAUUUGCGUCGCGCUCUACAUGUAUAAAACAGACUUCACUCCGGACGGACCGACAGUGCGCGUGCGCGGCUGCGGGGCGCUUCAGGCGAGUCGGAAGUCAGUCUCGCGGGAAGCGAGACACGUAACUCGCGCUACCCCUCAAAAAAAGAAAAACUCUCGCGCUGAAAUCUGGCUGUAGCGAAUCCUGUGGAGAAUCAAUAUUGCUGGUUCGCUCGAUCAUUGGGCCUAACAACACAUUCCUUGUGUUGUGUAUACGAUAUUUAAACAAUCCGGCUUUGCCUCAAAAAAUAGAAAAAACAAUCCGGCUUGGAGUCCAAUCCGAGUCCGAUCGUUGCUCUAUGCUACUCUAGUACAUAGUGGUUGAUUUUCCAAGCCUUUUGCCUGCCCGCGCACCUCCCGAGUCUAUAUAAACAGCCUUUGCCUUGCCGCUGAAUCAUGUACGUACAACCACGAUGCGUUCCUUUCGCGACGAAAUCGGCUACUGGCGCAAAUUCCUCCCCUGGUACCCAUGGCCGUUUAUCAUGAUCCUCCUCGUGGCCGCCUUCUUGGGCCUCCUCGUCAUGUUACGGGUCAAUAGCUCCUGUGUGACGUUUUUCAUGCGAAUUGAAAGGAGUGCGACGUUGUUGGAAUGAAUGGCUGUGAUGCGACGUUUUAGAAACAAACAAUAGCUCCAAUGCGACAUGGCUCUGUUUAACCAUGAAAUGAAAAACACGAGGGGUUAGCGAUUCGAGUUAUGACACGCGGGACCUAGCAGUUACUCGCAUGCGGGUGGGACCCACAACUUAUCCACGCAAGCAUGCCCGUGCUCAUCAGCGUGCCCCGACCUGAGCCAGCCACGAGCCCGAGCCAGCCCACCCCACCCCCCUCCAUUGCUUGCCCUGCCCCUUUCCUUUCCCACCUUCUUCUUCCUCUGCUCCGGCAACGAAGCGCGCCGCCGGCGAGUGAUGUCUAGCUCGACUUCGGCCUCCCGCCAAUCAUGGACGCAGUACGGUCCACUGCCGUUGACAAGAUGCCCCGAUUGCCCGCGCAUGGAGCCUCUGAAGCGUUUGACUUGUGUGAGGGAAGAAAAUGGCAACCGUGGGCGCGAGUUUGUGAAAUGCUUGAGCAGGCCACAGCCGGGGCAGGUUAGAUCUGUGUUCUUGACCAAUCUUAUGGUCUAAUUUCUCCCGAUUUCUUUCUUUUUUCCUCGAAUUAGGGCGGUGGAUCUGGGUGGUGGAUCUAGGAUUCAUGCGCCGCCGGCCCCCUGUUUUUCAGGUUCUGAAGAAAUGUGGGCAUUUUGAGUGGCUCGAUGACUAUGUUGAAAGGUUGAAAUUGGAGGGAUCAACCGGAACCCAAGAGCUCAAUUUUGGGGGGCGGCUUGCCGUGGAACAAGCCCCCAAUUUGGCGGACAGAGCCAAUCCGAUGAUGCACAGUGCAGAACUGAAGUGUGAAUUGAAGAAAAUUGGCAAGCAACUAAAGCAUCGGAUCGAUUUGAAGCAGCAAGCAAAUAUGAUGGCUGGAGCAUUUUAUUGUUGUGUCAUUGCUAUGGGUUUAUUUUACUUGAUGUUCAUCAAUCGCUAGAAUUUGUUAGAGUUUCAGUUAGUGUGUCAAAACUAGUUUCAGGGGUGCCCAGUAGUUUGAGUUAGCCAGGGAUCAUUUGUUAGAUGAAUUUGAAUUAGUGUGAAGCAAAACUUGCUUGAAUUAUUGUAAUGAUAUUCUCAGGGGCCCUAUUCAGUGUUCAUGCUCUGUUUCCUCUGUUUUUGUUCUUCAGUUAACAGAGUACACACCCAAAUUCAGUUUCUAGUAAAAAACAAAACUGGGCUGCCGAAUAGAUGUUGGGCCGUGAGAAAAUGGGCCGUGAGAAAAUAACCAUGCCCAAGACCAGCCCACCCGCGUAGGGACACCAGCCCACCUCUAACUUCGGCAAAUAAAAUGGGGCCCAAUAAAAUGUUACUUGUUUUUAUUUUGGCCUUUUUCUUGCACUAAAUUUUGUGAUGGAUCAUUUUUUGAUGCACUAAAACUAAAUGUUAAUUGUUUUUAUGCAUGUCUACAGUUCCAUGAAUUAAAUGAGUUGCAUGCUUGCAUGAAGUGCCCGAAGUAAAUUAGUUUGCAUUUCCUAGUUGCACCCAUGUCCAUAGUGGGUUUGCAUUUGGCUCCUAGUUGCAUGUCCAUGGUUUGGUCAAUAUUUUGAAGAUGGUGUGUGUGGUGAUUGGGGAGUAGAAACCCGGGCCCGUAGCAACCCAUAGCAAUACACGAAUAAUAAGCAAAAACAACCCAUAGCAAUCCACAAAUAAUAGCACGAAACACACAAUAUAUAUAGUAGCAUAACGAUUAUAUAGAAGCAUAACGAUUGCAACCCAUAGUUCCACGAUAGCCUUACAACUCCAUGAUAGCCUUACAACUUAAAGUACUAAUAAAACUUAAUAAUAGUAGCAUAACGAUUACAACUUAAAAAAAUAAUACGAUAGAUCUAUAGCAAGCUAGAUAGAUAGGGGGGCACCAAACGCGGGUUCUUCGGGUUCUUCUUCUCCUCCUCCUCCGGGGCCACCUCGCUCCUCCGGGCGCCGCCCUUCACUCCUCCCCAUUGUUGAUGGGGUACAGGAGCGUGUGCAUAACGCCGUUGUUGGGGAAGAUGCCGUUGAAGUCGGUGAAGAUAUUGUAGGUUGUGAAAGCUAUGAACUCACAACCAACCCAAUACGCUCGCCCGAGGAGAUGGAAAGCAUCGAAAGGGUUAGUGAACGUGGCGAGGAGCCCAACCACAACGCCGUUGUGGUUGACCUCCUCAAGAUGGUACAUCCGAGGAGAGCCGCGGGGGAGGUGGCGGAAGCCGGCUGCAAGGAAGAACUCCGUUAACUCCCUUGCGCCCCUCCACCUCGAGAUCGCCCAAACCCUAAGGGUUCCCUCUACAUACACUCCGGCUGGGUAGAGCCUUUCCGGCACGGUUGGGGGGAAGCGGUAGGUGGGGGCAUUGUACUGCAUGGUGGCGGGGUGGCUCGAGGGCUCGAUCGGGUUUGAUGGAGAAGAAGGAAGAAGGAAGGCAGAGGAGGCAGAGGAUGGGGUGUGGAUGAGAAGGGAGAGGAAGACGAUAGUGCCCGGCUUAAAUAGCCCAAGUGCGACGUGGUUUCACCCCGUAGAAUUAAUGGGCGGGCGGUGUUUGGUGGCGCCCCAUGAAAGUGUGUACACAAGCGUGGGAAACGGGCUGCGAUCCUUCUGUGCCACCGGUCACGGGUCAAGGGGGACGGGCUCACGCACGCGUCUGUGCUGUCGUGGGUCAAGGAGACACGCCUGCCCCGGGUUCUCUGUGUGUGCCGCCUGUGCAUUCAUUUGCCCAUCGAUUUGGUCGAUGGGAGACGUGAAAAUAAUGGACGCCUUCAUUUGCCCAUCUUGUAACGGGCAACACGCCGUUUGAACUGCAUCGAUACCCACAUCGAUACCCCAUGCCAGUAUUGCGUCCUCAAAGAGGAGCACACCAUGUACAACACGCCAUGCAGCGUUGGCUUUUUGGUUGUCUUCAUUGGGCUGCUGCAUUGUGGCCGGGUGCAUGCUUUGAUGCGACGUUGCAUCAGUUCUAAUGGUAGGCAUGCGACAGCUUACUGCAUCGAUAGGGGUGGCGGAGCAGGGCUACGUCGAGGGCAUGCAUGCAACGCACGGGCGUAGUUCCGCGGGUGGGCAUGCAUGCUGCAGGUAGGCACGGGCACGCAUGCAACGAUGGAAAGGGCACUGCGUAGGCUUAAUCCAUGCACCGCGUCAACUCUUGCCGUUGGAUUCAAAUGAACGGUCCUGAUGCCCCAACGAGAAAGGCUGAUCCAAACCCCACCGAUUCAACCAAUCAGCGCGUCUCAUGCGGAUCGAUGCACAUUGAUUCAACCAAUCAGCGCGUCUCAUGCGGAUCGAUGCACACUGCAGCUAACCCUAGCGCCUGAUCUCAACCGUCCACGCACAACGAUCGACGACCCGGUAGUGUGCGGGGUUUUGAGGGGUUUUGACUGAUUAGGGUUGAGCAUAACUAAUUCAAAAAAAAAUCAAAAAAAUAUAAAACUUGCGCACAUAGUCUUAUUAUGUCGUAUAGUAACGAAAAAAAAUAUCAUUUACAUACAUUUUUACGAAAAAUCCUUCACAAAAUUGUCAUUCCUCGAACAAUGUAGUAUGGAGUUCAAGGGAGAGAGUAGUGGGCACCCGAGAGUAGGUGGGGUUUUGAAAAUGAAAAGUGCGAAAACCUCAUCAAAACUUCAUUUUGGAUUGACUAAGAAAGAUCUCAACUUACUUUUCUCAUUUUCAUGUUUUAAACUUGUUUUAUAUAUAAUUUUCUAUUAAACUUUGUUUUUUUUAAAAAGAAAAUAAUAGAAAAUUAAUUCAAUAAAUAGUGAGACUUUAGAUUUACACUAUAUAGGUAGAAUAGAUGUGUAAAAAAAUUAUUUGGCUGGUAGAAUAGAUGUGCCAAAAAAACUUGCUUAAAUAUGAGGCCGUUUACCCUACCUUUGGAGGUCAUUUGAGACACACUUUUCAUGACUAUGAGUUCAACUUACCAAAAGGGCUCGAAAUGAUCAGCAAGCAAACAUAUUUCAGUUGAGGUACUUUAGAUAGCAUUAAAAUAUCAAUACCCCAUUCCUAAUUUAAAUUUGAGCCCAAAUUUGAAUUUUAUUUGGCUGGUUUAGACAAGGUACCAACAAACAAGUUCGAAUAGAAAUACGGGGAUACAUAGUGACUACCAGUACGCACCAAGUUACAAAUAUUAUUACAUGCCCCAAAUUUUCAAACUGUUCUCUGUUCUACCUUUUCCUACCACGUCGUGUGCCUUUCUUCGCCUUAGCACUUCUUGUUUUUGGUUCUACUACACACACAAGUUCACUGAUCAUCUUGGUUUUCUUCACUGGUCUUUUCAACACCUCGCCAACACCCUCGUGAUCAGUGUCUUCAGUCUCAAUGUUGACAGCAGUUUCAGUUUCUUCGGUGUGUACCUCAACAUGGGUUUCUUCAGUCUGAACCUCGACACGCUCAGGUUCAGUUUCAACCUCGAGAGCAGUUUCUUCAGUCUGAAUGUUGACUGCAAUUUCAGUUUCUUCGGUGUGCACCUCCACAUCAGUUUCUUCAGUCUGAAUGUUGACUGCAGCAGGAUUUUCUUCAGUCUGCUCAGGCUCAGGCACACUUCUCUUCUUUCUACCGCCAUUGACUUUUGUUUUUUUUGUUGGCCAACACUGUUCAACAACAAGAGGCUGACUUGCUCGCUUCCUCCUGGCCAUUGGGAAAAUGUUAUAGAUAUAGUAAUUAGAAAAAAGCACCAAAUCAAAACACAGACAAAUAAACAAGAACAUACUUUGGCUUAUCAGGAGUGUAACGGCAUUUGACAGAUCCCACUCUGUGCCCAAGUUCCUCGCACAACUUGCAUCUGUUUUUGUUACCUUUUUGGGCCCUUUUUGGCUUUCCAUCUUUCUUUCCCUUCUUACUACUCCCACAUUUCUCAAACCAUGCCUUGAAUCUACUCUGUUUAGGCCUGCCAGCCUUUUUUUCGUCAAGGGAGGACACAUGGAAAAUUCAAUGUCCACUUCAGGCCACUGAGACUGAUCUGUAAGUGCUGAAAUUGGAGUAGCAUAUGCAGCUUUGAAUCUUUUGCUACCGAAUAAUAUUCAUGCAAAUAUGGGUGCAUGUUUAUCUUCGGUUGGGAUGCUAAGAAGAGAAUGGCAUGCUCACAUGGUUUACCAGUGUGUUGCCACUCGAGGCAAGUGCAAUCAUGCAAUUCAGUGUUAACGACAUGUCUCCUUCCAGUUUUGUUAUCUCUAACUUCAGCACCCCAAGGUGAAGAUUUUUCAACAAACAAAUGUGAAAGACAUCUGCUCCUAUUGACCACCUGUUGUACCACUGCUGGAAGCUUAUAACCUUGCAGACAAUCACCUAUCCUUCUUCUCAAUUCCCACAACCGCAUGAGCAUGAUCCUGAUUUGGUCAACCAUGUCAUGCACAGGCAAAUCUUUUAACCCCUUCACCUUGUUGUUGAAACUCUCUGCCAAAUUAUUGUUGAUGUGGUCACACUUGAUGGCAGUGUUGAAUGCUGACCUGUACCAUACCAAAGAAUGGUAGGUGUUCAGCCAUGGACCAAACUCACCACAUGCUGCCAUUAUCUUAUCAAGAUGAUAUUUGUGUGUCUGUCUAGUGUAAGAUCUUGCUGCUGGCCACAUGCGCCCAAAUUCUUCUCCUCUAUUUUUUUUAUCAAAUUCAUCCACAAAUGACCGAAGCACUCCCUCUGCUCAGCAUGUGGGAAAACAUUUUUCACUGAAUUUUCAAGCCCCUUACAUGCAUCUGUGUGUAUAGCCAAAGGUGACACUGGCCCUAGGCAUCUUUUCAACUGGAUCAUGAACCAUGUCCAUGAAGCCUCUGUUUCUGACUGAAACAAGCCAACAGCAAUAGGAAAUAUCCAGUUGUGUCCAUCUAGAGCAUUGCAUGCUGCCAACUGACCAUUCCACUUGCCUGUCAAAAAUGAUGAGUCUAUGCUCAAAUAUGGACGGCACCCUGCUUUGAACCCAUCGAUGCAAGGCUUCAAAGCCAUAAAAAAACUUGGAGAACUUGACUUCACCUUCGGCUGAUACCUCUGUAUCUAUCUCCACAACACUGCCAGGUGACCUCUUUUCCACCUCUGCUUUGAAGUUGUAAAGCAUCCUAAAUGUAUUUGCCCAAUCACCAUAUAAAAUUUUCAUUGCCCUUUGUUUUGCCUUCCACACUGUGGUAUAUUUCAGUUUAAUGGGGUACAUCUUUUCCAAGUCUACUUUGAGUUUCUUGGCAGUAGUGUUUGGUGUUUUGGCUAAAAUUGGGGUGGUCUUUUCUGCAACCCAAAGUUGUGAUGUCAUGGUUGAUACUCUCUGUGAACUUGUAAUACAAGUAUGUUGAUUGGGAUUUGGUUAACCCUGACAGUACUUCCAUCAGGUUGCAGUCUAGCAGAUAUGUACCACUUGCAAGGCUUCACACUACCAUCAAAUCCUCUGCACCUCGCAUAAAACUUCUUUCUAUCAGUCCAAACAGUCUUGGCAUCAAACUCAUGUUUCACUGCAUAAGUUUUGAAACAUAUCCUAAACUCCUUCAUGCUUGGGAACAAUUUGCGUACUUCAAUGACAGGGUUUUCUUUGUCAUACACAUGCACCAGCUCAUCAUCAUGUGCAUCAUCUACUUCAUCUGCAGCUUGUUCCAUCAACUGUCCAUCUACUUCUUCAUCAGCAUUAGCAGGCAAACUAGAUUCGCCCCUCUCCUGCUUAUCUCUGUCAUCGACUGGAAUGCCAAAAAGUUUGGCCAUCUCAAUGUCAGGCAUUGGUGCAAUGACCAAAUCAGUAGGCUCAUCUAAUUCAACUACAUUCCAAUCAACAGUUGCUGCAGUUUCAGUUUCAGUUCCAGUCACCUGUCCCUCUUCGGCUAUUACUGUAAGUUCAGUACACAUGGGAUCAAUGGCCUCUGUGUAGCCCAAUCAUCAUCUAUCAUCUGCGCAGCCAAUUGUGAUGGCACAUAUCCAACCUUCGAAAAAAAUGUUCAGAUCAACGAGCUCAGCAAAAAAAUUAGCCCGUUUGCUUGUCCAGCCGUUUUGCCGAUCGAUUUCUUCAACAAUCUGUUCACCAUCUUUUAUUCUCACAUACUCUCCUUUUCAAUCGUCAAACCGCAACAGUGAUACUUCUUGCUCUAGUCCCCAAACAAUAUUCUAAUUUUUUCCACCCAUUUCUUCACUGUCGUCUCUCCCAUGUUCUGUAGAACUUGUGGAUCAAUCUCUGUAAACUCAACCUCCCAUUUAACAAUUGUGUCUCUCUCAAUGUUCUGUAUGCUACCAUCAACUAAUUUUGCCUUUGAUGGAAAGAAAUUGACUGUCAAUUCGAAGGUCCGAGCGGCAGCAUCCCCUCUGUCAGUGGCGAACAGUGUGAGCCCGUGAGAAAGAGCAGACGAGGCCACCCCCUAAUUGCAUGCAAAAUUGGAUCGGAGAGAGGCGCAUUACCUAUUCGAAGUUGAAUCUGGCGGCUCCAUCUCAGUAUGCCCACGGGCUCCCCUCACAACCUAUCGAUUCCACAAGCGAAAACAGAGGAAACGAGCUGAGAUCUACGGGCCCGAGAGAGGAACGGGAGGGUGACUAGGGUUUGAAUUCACUCACCAUUUUCUGAGGACGAAGGCUCCGCCGCCGUUGAGAACGAGGGCUCCGCCGCCGCCACCGAGAACGCAAGAUCUGCCGCCACCGGAGAAGAAGGGGGCAGAGUGGCGGGCCCGGCACGGUCGGGCGGCAGGGCACGGUCAGCUGUUUUGAGAAACAAUUAAGUUGGACCCACAUGUCCUAACAUAAACGGGCGGGCUUGGUUGACGACCAAUUUAACCACAUUUAACACGCCAUGUGGCCCUGGGCUAUUUGCACGCUCAAAUGUGUCGCAUCACAGCCAUUCAUUCCAACAACGCCGCACUCCUUCCAAUUCACAUCAAAAACGUCGCACAUGAGCUAUUGACCCGCACGUUACUCACCGCUGUCCGCCCCGUCCAUGUGGCCGUGGAAGACGCCUCCCUCGCCCGCCUCGCCCUCGCCGGGCCCAAUGGCACCAGGCUCUCUUACGAUGUGUCCCUUGCUGUCUCCGUGCACAACCGCAACUGGGCCAUGCGCGCCGUGCUCGGGGCUGACGCGCCGCUCGACGCUGAGCUCUUCUUCGCCGGCGAGCACUUCGCCCGCGUCAGGAUCCAGGGGAGCUCGCGCCGGUGUAUCUGUCCGGGAAAUACCGAGGUCUACAAUGUCGUGGCGGCGGGCGAGGGCACCGCGCCGCUGAGGAGUGCCGGGGUGGCAACGCUCGUGAAGGAGAGUGUGGCGGGUGGCGGGUUCCGGCUGGAGCUGAAGCUUGCCGGCGAGGUCAGGUACCCGCCGCACCGCACGCGCAGGCUGGAGGCCACCUGCCCGCUCAAGCUGCCUCUGGCGUCGCCCGCGGGGCAGGCAAGGUUCAAGAAGGUCGAGUGCGUGGUGUAAUCAUGGAUGACGAUGUAGCCUUCUUCAUCUUAGUAGGAUGGAAGUUAUUUAUUCUUUGUGCCUUCCCGUUCUGUCAAAUUUGUGUGAUGUGUACGGUGUGUGCAACGAGCCGUUCCCCACGUUUCAUUUCGUUUCUUGCAUGGCCAGCAGCUCGACGUCUCCUCCCAUGCUCCGUACCCGCUCUAUCACGAUCAUAGCCUGCAUCACGGGCGCACGCAAAACUCUUCAUCAGAAACCCAAAAACCUGAUAUUAAUCAGAUCUAAGAUGCUUUUUGGAUGUUUUUUUAAAAAAGAAAAUGUACGGGUAAUUACUUUCUAAUUGCUGCAAGCAGCAUGCUAAACAUGUCUUAAUUUCUGAACAUUACCUCUUUCUUCCAUUUGGCUCUGAUCUGAAGAGGAUCACAAACGGGAUCCCGGUCUGCAGAAUCGUGCCCAUCAGCACCCCACCCAAAUCCUCUGUACGUCAAGCUUGAGCUUGAAGCCGAAAACCGCUGCGAGGUGCAGGCCCACAAAGUGUUUUUUACGGUGCUGAGUCAACCUGGCAGUCGGGUCGGGUUUGCCCGGGUCGAGGUCUACCAAACCCAUGCCCGAUUACUAAAUGGGUCUACCCAGUCGCCCACGACCCUGCCCAUGGGCGAAGGAUCAGACCCACGCCCGAACCCGAUGGGUUACCCAUCGGGUUGCUGUACAGUGUUCUUGUACAGUGUACAACAGAGUAGUGGCAAAAUUCAUAUAACAAAUAUUGGUUUACACAGUAGCAAAAAUGCACAAAUAGCUUCAGUUACUAACCAUCAAUGUGAAUAUAUGAUAGAACAAAUAGAAAACACAGUAUCAGGAAGCCAAAUACAAGGUUCAGGAGCACAAAUAGCAUCACAAAUACAUGGUGCAGGUCCCAGAAGCACAAAUACAAGGUUCAGGAGCAGAAAUACAAGGUUCAGGAUCUUCAGGUGCACAAAUAGCAGCAGAAAUACAAGGUUCAGCAGCAGCACAAAUACACAAAUACAAGGUUCAGGUUGAGUAGUUGUGUGCCAACAAGCUAGCACUAGCAAGUAGUAGUGUAGCAGCCCAUGGAUAAAUGUAAAUAGCAGCAUGUAGUAGUGUAGCACGCCGGGUCGUCGGCCUUCUCGUCACAACCAAGCAGCAACAACACCAUCAUAGAGUCAUGUUUCAGGCUUCGGUUAAGAUGGAUUGAUCAUCAACCUCCUGAAACAUAAGAAAGUAAAAGCAUUCAAAGUAAAGAACAAGAUUUGCAUUAAAAUCUAAGAUUAAAAGGCAUGCUAAGUUGCUAAAAGUAGAAUAUGUUACCAUCAUUUCUGUGUCAUCCUUAAGAACAGUUUCAAAGUCCGCAAAGAGAGUAGAAUUGCAAUCCCCUGAUGCAUAGAUUUAGAUAUUAACAUAUAGCAAGGAAAUAAUAUUGUGUAUGGAAAGAAGAGUCAUGAUUCAACUAGAUUAUUACCUAACAUGUCUGCACGGGACCAAGCUUGCAUGCACAUAAGAGCUUCGGUCAUGUUUGGUGCAGGUGAACAUCUAUGUGCACUUAGUAUUCUCCCACUAGUACUGAAGGCAGAUUCCGAUGCCACGGUUGUUACAGGAAUGGCUAGUAUAUCAUGAGCCAUUCUUCGCAAUGUAGGAUACUUGAUACCUCCAAACUGCCACCAAUUGAUGAUGUCAAGACCCUCUGGCCUAUGGAUAAUUUCCUCUUCCACAAAUAUAAGUCCAGUUCUGUCCGCACACGAGAAGCACUCAUAACAGGCUUCGAGGACAUAUAUUGUUUAAAAAUAUUCUCCAUUUCAUCUACUGCAGCCCCACCUUGGGUAGAAACACUCCUACCUACCUGUGACUCCGAGGUACCCACACCACCAUCAGAUGCUUGAUAUUCUAGCAACAGAUCACCCAUUAACUUUCUAAUUUUCUCCACUUCUGCAGUUGCAUGUUCAAACCCAUAGAGAGAGCCAAACAAAGCUUGCAACAUAUGAAGCUUAUAUCUUGGAUCAAGGACUGUUGCCACAGACAUAAGACCAUGGACUUCUUUCCAAUACUUCUCAAACUUUGUCUUCAUUUCCUCAGACAUCUUUUGCAAAGGAACAUGCUCACUAGUAGACCAUUUUCGUAUUGCUAGACGAAUAGAAGAUAUUUUGGGGAAGAACAGAUUUGCUGUAACAUAUUUAGUCCCUGAGAAUAGCUCGGUGAUCACACAAAAUAGCUAGUUCAACACAUCUCUCGGCUAUUCUACACUUCUACUGUUGUGAACCAAAUAAAAAGGCUGGGAACCGGGAGAAAGAAAUGAGAGUCACCUUGCAGAGACAGAGGAUGGCGGCGGUGCUGCUCCGGCGUGGUGAUGGCGGCGGUGCUGCUCCGGUGACGUGAAGCCUUGGAGGAAUACGAGAUGGAGACGACGGCGGUACUGCUUGCUGGAGACGGUGGCGGUCAAGCCUUGGAGGAAUACGAGAUGGAGACGACGGCGGUAGUGCUUGCUGGAGACGGCGGCGGUGAAGCCUUGGAGGAAGAACGAGAUGGAGACGACGGCGGCAGUGCUUGCUGAAGACGGCAGCGGCGGUGCUUGGCAGGGGAUCCAGCAGCCGACGAGGACGGAGGUGGCCUGCGGUGGGGAUCCCGCGUCCCGUGAGGAUGGAGGCGGCGGGGAUCCUGUGGCCCGUGAGGAUAGCGGUCCGGGGAUCCGGCAGCUUGCGGCGACGGGGAUGGGACGGUGGGCGGCGACGGCGGCUUGCGGAUGGGAGCGAGAGAGAGAGAGUGCGGCGGCGGCGGCUUGCGGAUGGGAUCGAGAGAGAAUGCGGCGGCUAGGGUUGUGGAGGAGUGGAGUGGAGGACGCGAUUGACCUCUCUCUGCGACUCUGCCUAAGCCUAAGGUGCUAGCUUACUGGAUUGGGCCGGGGAUGUUGGGCUGGCACUGGCAGCCUGGCACUGCGGGAGGCCACUACUAUUUAGGUGGGGGUCCACAUGUCAGUUAAUCGGGCGACCCAUCGGGUGACCCACGGGCAGGACCUCGCACCCAUACCCUACCCAUGACUAAUCGGGUUACCCAUUGGGCUUACCCAUGGGUGAAUAUGUCGACCCAUACCCUACCCAUUAGGGUCGGAUACCCAUGGGCGCGGCCGCCCAUGGGUCGGAUUGCCGGGUUGAGUGCUGAGACCUACCGGUAAUUCUCUCACCAAUGUCUUGCUGCCAUGUGUAAAGGUGUGGGGCCACAUGCAUGUGUAUAUCAAAGUAUUGAUGUAAAUAUUUUUUUUGUAUUUUUGUUUUAAGUCAAAUCAAGGUCAGAUCGAUGGGACCCAUGUCAGGUGAGAGAGACAGUCUAUCCUGACGUUGCAUGUCGUGCCAUGGUACAAAUCCUUUCCUUUUAUUUUCUCUUUAGGAUUUUCAAUCAUUUCUAUCUUUUAAACCAUAUUGUUAUUUUUGAAAUAUUUUAUAUAUUUGAAUUCUUGAAGCCAAAAGCUUUAGAAUAAGACCAAAUUUGGAUGCAUUUCAAACAUGUUUUAAUUUCAACAUUUCAAAUGACUAAAAUUGGGUUUCUGAAACAAGCCAAAUAGGUAUUUUGAAAUAAUUGAAUUUUUUUUCAUUGAGUGAAAUCAAUUUUGAAAUAUGUUUUCUCAACUGAGUGAAGUAUGUUCUCUAAACCGUGUGAAAUUAUUAUUUUUAGACGAGUGAAAUUUGUUUUCCAUACACAUGCACAUAUUUCGGUGUGAAAUACGUUAAAUAUAGUGAAAUGUGAUUUCUAAAAUGAGUGAAAUCUAACUUUUGUAAACGGGUGUAAUGUGUUUUCUGAAUCUAGUAAAAUGUGAAAGUGACUGAAAGGUUUUCUGAAACUAGUGAAAUGUGAAACUCACUGAAAUCCAUUUUCUGAAAUGAGUGAAACGGUUAAAUUCAAACUAGCCAAACUGGUUAUUUAAAAUAGUGAAAAUGAGUGAAAUCUGUUUUCUCAAUUUAGUGAAAUUAUUUUUCUGAAACAAGUGACAUCAGUUUUUUCAUAUGUGAAAUCAUUUUUUUUAACAUAGUGAAAUGAGUGAAAUCAGUUUGAUGAAAUUAGUGUAGCCUGUUCUUUGUAACGAAUGAAAUAUGUGUUUUCAAAUAUGUGAAAUUGGUGUUUAAAUUUAGUUAAAUUUGCUUUUUUACACGCUGUAAUACGUUUUCUAAAAUGAGUAAAAUUGUUUCUGUAAAUGAGUGAAAUAUGUGUUUCGGAAUAACUAAGACCGGAGUUCCAAAAUGAGUGAAUUCCGUUUUUUGAAAUGAGUGAAAUCACCUUUUUGAAAUGAGCGAAACCAAUUCUUUGAAAUGACUUAAAUAUGUGUUUCGAUACGAAUGAAAUCAGUGGUCUAAAAUGAAUAAAAUUAGUUUUCUAAAAUGAGUUAAAUCUUUAUUUUUGAAUGACUCGUUUUUUUUCUUAAUUGCGAAACCAGUUUUUUUAAAUAAAGUGAACGAGUUUUUUGAAAUGAGUUACAACCAAUUUUUUGAAAUGCCAAAGCGAAUGAAACGGUAAAAUUCAAACUACGCUAAAAUAUAUUGAAUAUUGGUCUUGUUUUAAAGAUCUCGUCUUUAGGAAUUCAAAUAUAUAAAAAGAUUUAAAAAUAACUUUUUUUAUUAAGACGAUAUAACAAGAAAGUAAAAUAUUGGUACUAUAUGUUGAGUGGUCUGAGAGUGCACAUGCAUAACUAAAUGAAAAGGUUGUGAGGCAUGUUCAAGUAUUGGUUCAGACCAGUAUAGAGAUGUAUAUCAUCCCAGAAAAGAUUCCUUAGUUUAUUAAUCAAAGGACAAUAUGCAUCUCGAUGUUGACAUGGACAGCGGAUGCUUCAUGGUACAUCGUAGUUCCUGUUAAUUUACUUAUUCGGUGCAGGCCAACGAGAUAGUAGCAGCCGACACUCAACAAGGCCACCAAGGAUUGCAACCCAACCCAACACCAAUAGCCACUCCUGAAAUCACACACGCACAUAAGAUUUUUUUUCUUUUUAAAAAAAUGAGGAAGACCCCAACCUCUACAUCUGAGCGAUACAUGCAACCACUUUAUUAAUUAUUUACGAAAGACCUUACAAAGAAAUACAGCAGUAAGUCUGAAGCCACCGUCUAGACAACAUCUGUCGUUACUUCUAUCCAGUUAAUAAAGGGAUGUUGAUAGUCCGCGCCUAAUACCAUACAGACCUCACAGCCAAGCCUAACAUCUAAGACCUAAGGCCCCUUCCAAGCCACUUGCCGGAUAUGGGACACACUCCGGUCCGGCGCACUCUUAGCAGUCGCCGCCGCCAACUGCCACCACUCCAUCUUUAGAGAUGUACUGACGCAUCAACAUUGCCCCGCUCUAGCUGCCGUCGAUGCCACCAUGCCGCUAGACAACACCACCAUCCUGCACUCGUCCAUCAACACACGCCCAGCAGCGAGACCCCGCUGCUCCAUGCCGCUGAGACCCGCUGUUAUCAACGUGUCAGAUGCAACGCCGCUCCUCCUUCGCGAACACCACCUGCUGCCACUGGUCCCAUUCCCUCCACCUGUAGAUCCUCUGCACUCCCAACCGAGCCCUAGUGCCCUUGACGACACCUCCAGGAAGGUCACGACGCGAACAGCGCCGCUGCCGCCAAAUCCGAAGAUGAUUGAAGGCUUUCACUCGAUCGGGGAUCGGGUUGGGUAGAUUGGGCCAUGAGUUGCGCCUUUAUGAAGGAAAGCGGCGUCCAUGGGCGUCGCCGCCGCCGGGCCGGCCAGGCCGGCCAAGGCUUCCCCCAGACCCAAAGUACACCACCAUGGCUCACUAUCACCGAAGCCUGCAGCUGCAAACCACCGGGACGGAAAGAGAGGCGGCAGAAGAAAGGGGAACCUCCAGAUCUGACGCUACGGAGCACCGCGCCACGACCGGACUACACCAGCGACCCGCCGCCCGCGCGGCCAAGCACGCUGGCCAGCGCCGCCUGCAGACGUCGCCAGCCGCCGAACGACGAUGGCUCACCGACACCGUCGCCCAAGGAUCCGCAGGACACCAAUGCGAUACUCCGGCCCACAGGCCGACGUGAUCGAUGCGGGCGCCGGGAUCCCUGCCGCCACCUUCCCUGGCGCCCACGCGGGCUUUGUCUGCGGCCGUCUCUGAUGGGGGCGAGGGAGGGAAGGGGAUGAGGGGAGGUGGCGUGGCCAAAGAUCUGAUCGCCCCCGAGUCGCCCGGGAGGGCGACGCGAGGGUCUGUGCGAAGCUGAUGUGUGAUAUGGCACUAGCUGAUAAGCGUCACGUCCCUUUCGGCUUGCGUCCGGUGGCACACACGCACACAAGUGACAUCGCCAAUUUGCUCUGAACAGAUUGACGUACUUAACAAAAAGCGUGAAGCUCUGGAGGAUGAUGCAUGUAUUUACGUGACAGCAACGACCGGAUGCUGUUGAGGAAUAUGGUGGCAGCCAGAAGAUAGCCAGUCUUGCAGUCUCCCUGACGAGUAAGUCGUCGUCGGUGAAAAGCCCGCCACGAGGGCGACCAGCGUGAAGAUAGCCCGAUGGUGGCCGACCUGGUCACGGCCACCACGGCCGAUAACUUGGCCGCUUUCGGGUGUCUGGCGCCAAGCUCGUUGGCACAAAACCAAACACUAGAGACAGGACAGGUGAGAGUCAUUUCUUCUGCUGUUUGAGAGCGCACAGAAAAUCAUCAGAGUCAGAGGAGACGCGCGCGUACCUCACUGCGGCAUUGCAACCGAAUGCUACCGUCAAUGUCCAGAUGUUGUAGUUCAUGUUGUUAAAACAAAAUUCGAGCAAGCAUCGGUAGAGAUUAUGUAUGUUCAUUUCAACUUUGAGUGAAAAGCAAAAUCACUAAAAACAGACACUGUGGCAAGAGAAAAAUUGACAGGUGCACUAACCAUAUGAUAACGGCCCCAACUUGAAUCACUGGGUGGGCAAUUUGGUGCCAGAGAAAUGGAACUUUUUUCAGAAGUGAAGCACACAGUGUUAGAUGCUGGAAGUUCAGACUAAAGAAAGAUCUCAGUCUGGUGAUUCAUAGGAUAAAAUCUAAGCAUCUAAGCACCUUGCAAAAGUGGAUUAAGGAUCAUCUAGAAUGAUGCCUUUAAGAAGUAUCUAGAAUAUUAUUUAUUCACAUAUUGAAAAAAGCUGGAAUAGGAUUUUUUUUAGAAAUGGAGGAGGACCCCCGGCCUCUGCAUCUGGACGAUGCAUACAACCACUUUAUUAAUUAUUCACACAAGACCUUAUAAAGUCAUAUAACAGUAAGACUGAAGCUACCGUCUAGGCAAGAAACUGUCGCCACUUCUAUCCAAUUGAUGAAGGGAUGCUGAUAGUCUGGGCUUAAUACCAAACAGACCUCUCAGCCAAACCUAACAUCUAUGACCUGAGGUCCCAACCAGGACGCCUGCCGGGCAUGGGGCACCCACCAGUCCGGCGCACUUCUCAACCAGGACGCCUGCCGAGUAUGAGGCCGCCGCAGCCACCUGCCACCAAUCCAUUGUAAGUGUUGUACUGUUGCAUCUACCUUGCCAGGUCUAGCUGCCAUCGACGCCACCACGACGCCAGACAAUGCCACCAUCCUGCGCGAGUGCAUCUCCGCGCAUCGGGCGCCGAGUCUCUACUGCGCCACGCCGCCAAGAUCCGCCGCCAUAAAUGCGCAAGAUGAAACACAGCUCUUCCUCUUGCCCCCUCCAGCCAGCACUUGCUCCAAAACGAUGCCCCCAGGAGGGAGAACGACACCGAAAGCGUCGUCAUCGUCCGAUCCGGUAGACCCAGAUCUAGGGUUUCCCCCAAAACAUCCGGAUCAGGUUGACGUGACCUGCAACGACGAUGCCUCGAGAAGGGAAUGACGUCCGAGACGCCGCCAUCGUCCGCUAAGACUGCAGUCAGGCGCGAUUUUCACCGGAAGCCACGUCGUCCCGAUCUCUCUCGGCUGGCUGGAACCGAGCGGAGCCUCGCCACGAAGACGUACGCCGCCAUCAGUACUCCGGCGAAAAUCCGUCAUCUCCUCAACGGUCCCUCCACGCGCCGCCGGUCGGUGCAAGGCCACCCCGCGGCUGAUCCGAUCAGGGCGUUGGAUCCGCAGCCACCGCCGUUGUGACGCUCCCGAUUCAAUCGUACACUAAUCAUGCACGCAAAUGUGUACGAUCAAGAUCAGGGACUCACGGGAAGAUAUCACAACACAACUCUACAACAUAAAUAAGUCAUACAAGCAUCAUAAUACAAGCCAGGGGCCUCGAGGGCUCGAAUACAAGUGCUCGAUCAUAGACGAGUCAGCGGAAGCAACAAUAUCUGAGUACAGACAUAAGUUAAACAAGUUUGCCUUAAAAAGGCUAGCACAAAAGUAGCAACGAUCGAAAAGGCAAGGCCUCCUGCCUGGGACCUCCUAACUACUCCUCGAAGCCGCACUCCAUGUAGAAUCAUCCUCGGGAUCUCUAGCUCCUGUACUCCAGCAUCUGGUUGCGACAACCAGGUAUAGAAAGGGGAAAAGAGGGAGAAAAGCAACCGUGAGUACUCAUCCAAAGUACUCGCAAGCAAGGAGCUACACUACAUAUGCAUGGGUAUAUGUGUAAAGGGCCAUAUCGGUGGACUGAACUGCAGAAUGCCAGAAUACGAGGGGGAUAACUAAUCCUGUCGAAGACUACGCUUCUGGCCACCUCCAUCUUGCAGCAUGUAGAAGAGAGUAGAUGGUAAGUUCACCAAGUAGCAUCGCAUAGCAUAAUCCUACCCGGCGAUCCCCUCCUCGUCGCCCUGUUAGAGAGCGAUCACCGGGUUAUAUCUGGCACUUGGAAGGGUGUGUUUUAUUAAGUAUCCGGUUCUAGUUGUCAUAAGGUCAAGGUACAACUCCGGGUCGUCCUUUUACCGAGGGACACGACUAUUCGAAUAGAUAAACUUCCCUGCAGGGGUGCACCACAUAACCCAACACGCUCGAUCCCAUUUGGCCGGACACACUUUUCUGGGUCAUGCCCGGCCGCGGAAGAUCAACACGUCGUAGCCCCACCUAGGCUCAACAGAGAGGUCAGCACGCCGGUCUAAAUCCUAUGCGCGCAGGGGUCUGGGCCCAUCGCCCAUUGCACACCUGCACGUUGCGUACGCGGCCGGAAGCAGACCUAGCCUAGCAGGCGUUCCAGUCCAAUCCGGCGCGCGCCGCUCCAUCGUUGACGUCACGAAGGCUUCGGCUGAUACCACGACGUCGAGUGCCCAUAACUGUUCCCGCGUAGUUGGUUAGUCCGUAUAGACCAAAUGGCCAGACUCAGAUCAAAUACCAAGAUCUCGUUAAGCGUGUUAAGUAUCCGCGAACGCCGACCAGGGCCAGGCCCACCUCUCUCCUAGGUGGUCUCAACCUGCCCUGUCGCUCCGCCACAAAGUAACAGUCGGGGGCCGUCAGGAACCCAGGCCCACCUCUAUCGGGAUGGAGCCACCUGUCUUUUCAGCCUCCUCAUCAGAAUCACUUGCGGGUACUGAACGAGCUGACCCGACUUUAGUCACCACAUGUGUCAUGUAUAUAAAGUAUUUAGUAUAUACCCGUGAUCACCUCCCUAGUGAUCACGGCCCGAUAGUAUAACAUGGCAGACGGACAAGAGUGUAGGGCCACUGAUGGAACACUAGCAUCCUAUACUAAGCAGUAGGAUAGCAGGUAACGGUAACAACUAUAGCAACAAUGACAGGCUAUGCAGCAGAAUAGGAUUAACCGAAAGCAGUAACAUGCUACACUACUCUAAUGCAAGCAGUAUAGAGAAGAAUAGGCGAUAUCUGGUGAUCAAGGGGGGGCUUGCCUGGUUGCUCUGGCAAGUAGGAGGGGUCGUCAACACCGUAGUCGUACUGGAUAGCAGCGGCGUCGGUCUCGGUGUCUAACGGAGAAGAAGAGGGGGAAGAAAACAGUAAAUACGGAGCAAACACAGCAUCACAAAACAUAACAAGGCAAUACGUGGUGCUAGGGUAAUCUAACGCAGGGAUAGGUGAUACCGGCAAAGGGAGGAAACAUCCGAGAAAGUAUUCCCGGUGUUCCGCGUUUUCGGACAAAUGAACCGGAUGGGGAAAGUUGCGAGUUUGCUAUGCUAGGGAUUUGUGGUGGACGAACGGGUUGCGUAUCCGGAUUCGUCUCGUCAUUCUGAGCAACUUUCAUGUACAAAGUAUUUUCAUCUGAGUUACGGUUUAUUUUAUAUUAAUUUUUUAAAGUUUUAAAUCAUUUUCCAAAUUAUUAUUAUUAAAUUAAUUUGAAAUUAGUAUUAUUGCAUCGGCAUGACGUCAGCAAUCAACAGAGGUGUUGACUAGUCAAACUGAUGUGUGGGUCCCGCAUGUCAUCGACUUAGUUAACUAAACAGGAUUAGUUAAUUUAAUUUAAGUGAUUAGAUUAAUUAAUUAGGCUUAAUUAGAUUAAUUAACAAGAUUAAGUAAUUA